RNAcentral lists this long non-coding RNA (69080 nucleotides) under Sorghum bicolor (sorghum). RNAcentral's name for it is "long non-coding RNA (SBIC_LNC005872)". The stretch from base 20542 to 20651 matches the Rfam family "MIR5565 microRNA precursor family". Lineage: Eukaryota; Viridiplantae; Streptophyta; Magnoliopsida; Poales; Poaceae. The record is from RNAcentral.
UGCUGUCCAAGAUCAACCUGGACGCGACGGACCUGGUGGCGCUGUCAGGCGGGCACACCAUCGGGCUGGGCCACUGCACGUCGUUCGAGGACCGCCUGUUCCCGCGCCCGGACCCGACGCUGAACGCCACCUUCGCCGGCCAGCUCCGGCGGACAUGCCCGGCGAAGGGCACCGACCGCCGGACGCCGCUGGACGUGCGCACGCCCAACGCGUUCGACAACAAGUACUACGUGAACCUGGUGAACCGUGAGGGGCUCUUCACCUCGGACCAGGACCUCUUCAGCAACGCCCGCACCAGGGCCCUCGUCGACAAGUUCGCGCGCAGCCAGAGGGACUUCUUCGACCAGUUCGCCUUCUCCGUGGUGAAGAUGGGGCAGAUCAAGGUGCUGACGGGCACGCAGGGGCAGAUCCGCACCAACUGCUCCGCACGCAACGCCGCCGGGACGACGAUGCUGCCGUGGUCCGUCUCCGUCGUCGAGGAGGCUGCAGAUGAGAGCCUCGGCGUGUUCUAGAACUAGGUGUGCCGGCCGGCGUCUGCUGGCUGCCGUGGUUAGCUACAGCUAGCCUUACGUACGUGGUCGGUCGGUGUCUACGCACGUGGUGCCUAAUGGAGUUGGCAGGAUGCAGCUACUAGCACUGGACUGCAUGCAUGCAUGUAGUGCAGCAGCUAGCGCGCCACCAAAGCACUGCACCUUAAUUAGCUUUGAGAAAUAAAAGUGGCCAUGGCAGAAAAUCAGUCUAUAUAUACUGUGCAAGUGUGCAGGUACCGAUGGAGCUUUACUUUUAUAUCUUCAAGGCCCUGCUUGUGAGUUGUAAUUAUAAUACUAGGAUCACCCGUGCUCGUUGUUUUAGUGUUUGUUAACAGAGAUGCAGCGCGUGUUAGUCUCAACAGAGAGAGCAGAGAUACAUUCCCAAACACACCCCCACUCAGCGUGGCAGAUUGGCAGGCAACCAAAAUCCGUGUGUAAAAGCUGUUAGCUGUCAAGCCUGUUUACGUGCAGCCAUUCAACAUGCAACCAUUCAACAGUAUUUUUUUUUCAUAACUAAUUAGCGAACAUUCAACAGUAUUUUUUUUCAUAACUAAUUAGCGAACAAUUUUAACGAUAGCUUUUCAACCAAACGAAGUACUCCCUCCGUCCCAAAAAAAGUGUCGUUUUAGAAUUUCAGACAUCUUAUUUGAUCAUUCGUCUUAUUCAAAAUUUUUACAUAAAUAUUAUAUAUUUUGUUAAGACUUAUUUUAUCAUUAGAGAUACUUUGCUCAUGAUUAAUUUAUUUUGUAAUUUAUAUAAAAUUUUUGAAUAAAACGAGCGGUCAAACACAAUGUCUCAAAGUCAAAAAAAACGACACUUUUUUUGGAACAGAGGAGUAUACUAUAAUUUCGUUCCAAUGUAUUCGAUGAUCUCUGACAGAAUGACACGAUUACAAGGAAAAUUAGGAUUUAUAAAGGAUCGGUAACUCCAGUACAUAUGUUUAUGUUUCACCGCAACUUACAGUAGGGAGGCACGACAAAUGGAGGAAAACUGAGGCCCCUGGUGCGCUUGGCUAUGUCAAGAACACCGAAACGAAAAGAAUAAUGAACAGAACAACCAGGAAUGCGAUCAACAUGAUCUGACCCUUGAUGCCAGCCUUCUUCAUCACCAUGGCCACUCUUUUCUGCACCACGAAAUGGGACAAGACAUUUUCGAGUUUCAUUUUGUGAUUGAAUUCUUGGGGGUAAAGGAAGAAAAUGGAAACACAGGUUAUAUGCAAGAAUCUUAAGGUAAAGUAUCCUAUCCGGUCACUUCCCCCCACGGUCAUGACACAAAGAAAGAACAGGGUAUGCAAACAGGAACAAUUAGAAGUUGCCAUUGAAGAUGGCGAAAGAGCAGACCUGCACAAAGUCAAGUCUGUUGGAAGUAGUCUCCAUCUCCAAGCUUAAGUCAUUAAGGAUCCUUUCCUGUAAAACAGCCACAUGUAUUCUGGUUAAAGCUCCUGCACAACUCUACAAACUUUGCUACUUGUCAAUAGCAAUUACCUGUCCAGACAGCUCUUCGUGUAUGGUUAGCCCUACGCCACCAAUCCUUUGGACACUUUCACUGAGCUCAUCAAGUUCUUCAUCCUGCUGCCUGGGUAAAUAUAUCAAAUCAAUGCAAAACAUGUGAACUUAACAUGGCUCACAUGAACAAUAUAUAACUAUAGAUAUAAUCUGCCUACGGAAUUUGAGUUUAACCAGUGUACAUUAUUUCUAUCUAUAUUCACAACUGAAGGAAUAAACAAAUAUCACGAAUGACAUGAUUGCGGUUGACAGCCUACUACCAUAGUACACAUCCAUCUUCUCUUCCAGAAACAAUAAAACACAACAGAGCUAAUAAAUGCCGUAAAACUAUUGUAGAUCAACAAACAGUUAACCUUGCUGCAAGAAGGAAAAGUCAGUACAGGCAUAAACCAACAGAAAACAUAUGAAGUUAUGAUCUUCACACCCACAUGGUUACCAUGGUAAAUAUGCAACUACGAAAUAUGAGGUCUCUAAUUCCAAGUUUAAUCAUCAUCUGCAUUUCUUUUACAACUUUUGACAGCUCAACAAAAUGGUCUGAGAUUCUGAUAUUCUAGCAUGUCCAUGACCUACUUACCACAAGAGAAAGCAACAGCUAAAAAAAAGUAUUGUUACUUGCAUUUACAUAAAAUUAAUGAUGAUGUGCUGGUGGAAACACAAGAAUCAGUGAGCAACAAUAAGUAAACCAAUGUAAUAUUCCAGGUGGAGAAGCGAAGACACUAACUGGAACAACUGAGGAGUAAUACAAGGUUUAUGUGCCACUAAAGCGAACUUUGACUAGGAAAAUUAGCAAAUUUAUGAACUGUACACUACCUACGUACAAUAGCCACAGCUCUGAGUUGCAUGUGUUGAAUGCUGAACAGGCAACAUAUUUCUAACAAACAUGUUUGCAAAGUUCAUUAAAAGUAACAAAUUAAACUCACCUCAUGAGUAGAAGCUGCCUAUCUGAUUCUGAAGAAAUAAAGUCAUCAUUGUCUUGGGCAGAAUAGUGGUUGGUCCUGCUUGUAUCCUGGUAUUUUGAAGUUGCUGCAUUGCUCUUGCCCUUUUCAAUAGCUCUCUUGACUGUACCAACCUGAAUAUGUUCAUGAAUAGAGUGUAAGUGAGGAUCCAUAUUUAAAGUACAUUGGCAACUGCAGAAUUUGGAAGAUGGUAAUAUAUUAUUCCUUAUUUUCUAUACCAAACAACAGGAAAUCAUGCAACCUGAAGUUGUGUAACUCAUUCAUGUUCAAAAUAUACCUCUUUGGUAAUCCUAACAAAUACAUACAAGAACGAUAUUUCCAAUCAUCACAUCACUGAAGAGUUGCUGCAAUAUGAUCGAAUGCAUACCUGCUUACGAGCAGAACCAGUCCAGUUUCUUCGUCUGGAAAGCUCAACUUCAUCAAGUCCAUAGUAUGCUGGAUCCCUUGAUGCGACUGAGAUUGUCUUCUCCAGCUCAUCUACCUUUCAAGUUUGAAAACAAGCAAGCUUCAUACAUCAAGAAAGUGGAUACCAUAUCCCAUAAAUGGUAAACUAAUACAUUAGAUGCAUAACCUGAUCUCACAUAGGAAUAAACAUGGUAGCCCAAAAAUGAACAAACAAGGAAAAGAAUUGCAUAUCAACAUUUCUGCUUAAAAUUUCUUCUAAAUGUACCAACAACGGAGUAAUGACAACAUCAAAGACUUGGUUACCACCUGCCACUCGAUGCUUUCACAGCUGGUCAGAAGCUCCUUUGUCAAAUGAACAUAUUCUCCUGUGUUUGAAGCAGUUUGCUCCCAGCGGUGGAAGGUACUUUGCAGUUUAUCAAUCUGAAACAAAAAAUAAAUUUAUCCUGACGAACAAAAGAGCAACAUCUAAACACAAACUUGGAUGGGGCUAUAUGCCUAUAUGUUUCCAGGGCUUCAGUAGAGUUGAGCAACAGAAAUGAAAAUAGUCUUUAUUCUCAGGAAUAACUGGCAACCAGAUGUAACUGCAAGAUGGUGUGAUAUGUUUCUUAAACUAUGAGAGACCAUGAGAGUGAAUAACAAAAGGCAAGCAAACAAUUCGGGCAUGAGUUACCAGAUCAAGUAAAUGCCUGAGCCUCUACUGUGAGAGUUUAGUGCUGCAGGUGUAUCAAGCAGCGUCCUAGUCCUCAUUCACCUAUGUCUAUACACAAAAAUUGAGCCCAUACUGCAAAUUUAGAUUUUUCGAGAGCAUCAACGUCCCUAGCUGGUAGCUGCUUAUUGGCCACUCCAGCAUCUCUGUGUCCCAAUUUGGUACAAUUCGCGAACACGGUGAGAGUAGGCAACAGCGCUCGGAUUUCCAACCUCUACCGAUGCAGAACGACGGCUCGAUGACGAAGGAAAGACUGACACUCACUUGCACAAAUAAUAAGAGCGUAAUAAGGAGCGAGAGGGAAGUAUGGAUUACCGAGUCCUGGAUCUCCUCCCGGACGAUGUAGAACGGAUCCUGCGCCGAGCUCAUGGCCUCUCCAACGAGCGGAUUCUAUCGGAUUGCUGGGCCUGGGCGGCUGGAUGCCUAGAUUUCCUCCCCACCAAACCCUAGCAAAAUUUUUGGGGGCCAGGGGAUUUGGUGCGGAGUCGCGGCGGAGACGACAGAGCGAGAGAGAGAGAUCCCACUUCCACUGGUUCCUCGUCUCGUCUCGGUGACACUGCCACCAGGGGCCCGCCUGCUUUGCCGUGGCCGCGCUUGUGGACUCGGUGCACGGAGCACCCGGGUGUCGAAGUGGCGCUCCGGGCCCACCGCGCAGUGACUCUGAGUCGUCGCUCUCUUUCUUCCUCCGCGGCAUUGGGAAAGGGAACGAGAGGCGAAGCAGAUAAGAAAGAAAGCCAGCCGGCAAGGGGAGCCACACCGGCCGGCGUCGAGAAACCCUAGUGCGAGCGGCUCGACGACCCCUACCACCCUCAUGGCGACCUUCGCUACCGGCAGCGCCACAGCGCGCGCGGCGCUGGCGUCGCCGACUCCGUGCCGGCCGGCCGCGCUCGCCUCGCGCCCGGCGCCGGCGCUGUGGAUGCCGCUGCGCUGCUCGACGCCGGCCCUGGGCCUCAGGGGAGGGUCCGCGCGUUCUCGGCGGGGCGCCACGCUACGGGUGAGACCUGCCUGACAUUCUUGCCCUGUACUCUUUGAUUCUCCUUGCGUUCCGGACGAAGUAGUUUUGGCUACUGUGCCAGCCAAUGGAAAUUGGAAUGGAGUGCUAUGUGCGUAUACAGCGGAAUCGUUACUUUCGAAUGUCGAAACAAUCUAGGUCCACUGGCUGAUGUCCAAAUGCCUGAACUCUGUCCUGGACUCCUAUGAGACAUCCAAUUUUAUUUCUGCUACUGUAUCAAAAUUUCAGUUCCUAGUCUUAGACGUCUGGGAACUUGGUGUAGCUGGUAUAUAUCCAGCUUUUUUGAAAAAUGACCCUGGAUCUUUUUAGGCUGUUAACCUUAUGUAUGUGAAAAUUUAUGCCAUAUAUUAAUAGCUAUGACAAUGUUUUUCCUUUUAAUACUCAUUGGAGUACUUUCCAGUUUUCUGAAAUUGUAGUUUUGUUCUCAUCCAUUGUGUAGCUCUAGAACUGAGCAAGUGCCAAUUGAUAUUAUGUGCAAUCUUUUUAUGUGUGCUUAUAGUCCUAUAACUGUUUUCUGACAUGUAUCCUUUUCCAUUAGGGCUGCGUAGCUCUUCUUUACCCCCUCAAAAUGAGAACUUUCUUAUUUUUUAUCCGUAUUUUAUUUUUGGAUAGGUGGAGGCUAAGAAGCAAACGUUUUCUUCGUUUGAUGAGUUGCUGGAGAAGUCUGAGAAGCCUUUAUUAGUUGACUUCUAUGCAACUUGGUAAGUUACUUACUGGAAGUAGUGAAAGUGGUGGUGCCAAAUGUCAUGUUGAGCUAUUUCAGUGCUCCCUACUAGAUAUAAGUUCUCUUCAUUAUUGUUGUGUUUUUAGGACUUUGGUGUGUUUCAUGUUCUUGCCAUUAUGCCAAGGUGUCACCAACCAUUUGGGAGGUGAACAUUGCACUGGACUAGCAUUGUGUUCAUCAUCUGUGUAAAUCACAUGCAUAAUAUCUACCACCUCUUACCCUUUUUAUUUUUGAGAAGAUACCAAACUUUUGGUGAAAAUUGAAUAGUCUUUGCACUCCUUUUUGCACAAGUGGGGAGGAGCUGGAGAGGUUGGGUCUGUUUUUUCACUUUUUGUCUUUAGUGUUCACCAUCUGGACUAACAUGUUCAAUUGUAUUUCCUUCACAAUUGGUAUUUGCAAUACCUCAAAUGUGCCUAACUGAUUUGAAACCCCCUGCUUUCUAUGUUCUGGUACUGUUCAUGAUGAUGUGCAUGCUACUAAUAUUGUCCAUGGAUCUAACAAAAAAACAUCACUAUAUGAUUAGUUUGGUCAUGUUCUGUUCAUGAUAUUUUCAUUGUUUCCUUCUGAGUUAGUGAGUUCUAUCGAAAUCCAGAAAUCUUGUUUCAUAGUGUACUCAUCAAACAUUGUCAACUCCUAGCGGACAGCUGUGUCUAUUGGUUUGUUAGCUCCAUUACACCAUGCAUAUUAGCCUAUUAGGAAGAUAACUCAUCAUUCAACUAAUUAUGAGCAGUCUGUACACGAGCAUUGCUCUCUGUCUCUACAUAAGUCUGUAACAUACAAUUAUAUUUACUUUUGUUCUUUUGGUCAGGUGUGGUCCAUGCCAAUACAUGGUUCCCAUACUUGAAGAAGUCAGUGAAAAGUUAGGCGACAAAAUUCAAGUUGUGAAAAUUGAUACCGAGAAGUACACUAGCAUUGCAAGUCGUUACAGAAUUGAAGCAUUGCCAACUUUUAUCAUAUUCAAGGAUGGGAAACCUUGCUAUCGCUUUGUAAGUGUUGAAUGAAACAAUCUUUUCAAUUUUCAUCAAUAAUUUAACUUGUGCUAAUAUACUAUGCUUUUUCCCCCUCUCCCUUGUUCUUCGUGGCAUUCAGGAAGGAGCAUUGCCUGCAAACCAGAUGAUCGAACAGAUUGAGAAUGCUUUGGCAGUCACGAAGUAGCACAUAUGGUAAGCAGGGCAGGAUCCCCCAAGCCCCCACCCCCCAACCCCCACCCACCCCCACAAAAAAAAAAGUGUACUUGGUGCUACCUCACAACAUGUGCCUCUUCAUGUUGAAUUCUUUAUAUUGUUCAUGAGGUUCUACUUCAACUGCGAUAUGAAUAGGCAUUUUUUCUUCGUAGUUACAAUAUGAAACUGUGAUAUUGUGAAUCGAUGAAUCCUCUGCUUCUUGAUGCAAUACUGAACUGUAAUUCCUUCUUCAUCUUAUCUUAGCUGCUCAUAUAAACCAAUAGUGCUACCCAGCAUAAAUAUUAACCUGGUCCUUCAAUAUUAGUAAAGAUACUCCAUCUGUCCCUAAAAGCUUCAACUCCUAGAAUCUGUGUCAGACUGCCGGUCAAACUUUUUUAAGUUUGACCAACUUUAUGAAAAAGUGCAUCAAUAUCUAUGAUAUAAGAUGAGUAUCUUAUGAAAAUAUAUUCUAUGAUAUAUCUAAUGGUAUUAAUUUGGUACUAUAAAACUUAGCAUUUUUUUCUAGAAAUUCAGUUAAAUUUGACUUAGGACAACUCUAGAAGUUGCAACUUUCAGGGACAGAGGGGGUAUGUUGAAAGAAAACCAUGUUGAGGUCAGCCUGGGCGUUCGGUUCCUCGGUUCGGUUCUUCGGUUUUUGACAUAAAUUCGGUUCUCUGCAAAUAGGAACCGAUCGGUUCUUCACAAAUCUUGAACCAAGCAAAAUCGGUUUCGGUUAGUUCGAUUCGGUUCCGGUUCUGACCGAACUAACCGAAAAUUUACACAAGCAUAAAAAAAGAAUAGAAAAAUAGGAAAAAAAUAUUUUUUAAAAAGCAAGAUGUCGUUAUUUAAAAAAAAAUAUGAGGAUGUGAGGCUAUGAGAAGGUGUCAUUCACCUUUUAUAUUUAGGAUUAAGGUGGUAUUAGGCCUAUGUUGUAAGGUUUAUUGGGCUUGUUUUAUGAAUUUCGGUUAUUUCGGUUAACCGAGCCUGGAAACCGAAACUUGAUCGGUUAGUUCGGUUCCUGAGAACUGAGAACCGAACAGCUAACCGAAUAAUUCGGUUUCGGUUAUUUCGGUUUCGGUUUCGGUUCUCGGUUAUUUUUGCCCAGGCUUAUGUUGAGGUGUGAGGUGCUUACAUCUGCACUCCAAUUAUUUCUUUGUUGACUUUCAUGAUGUAGUUAUUCUUACCAGCUGCUGAAGCUACCUUUUCUUUGGCAGACCAUGCAAGUGAAUGGAUGCCCAUUGAAUCGUUUGUCACCAAAGGUAAAUUGCUGGCAAGCGAUGGGACAUUUAGGAUAUGAAGGUGUACAUCCAAGAUUCAAACCUUUCAUAUCGUUUAGGCCUUGUUUAGUUCAAUCCAAAAACCAAAAACUUUUCAAGAUUUCUUGUCACAUUGAAUCUUGCGGCACAUGCAUACAACACUAAAUGUAGAUGGAAAAAAUAACUAAUUGCACAGUUUAACUGUAAAUCACGAGUCAAAUCUUUUGAGCCUAGUUAGUACAUAAUGGAAUAAUAUUUGUCAAAUACAAAUGAAAGUGCUACAAAAGCGAAAUCUAAAAAGUUUUCGCAGCUAAAUAAGGCCUUAGUAUGCUUUGUUUUGUAAAAAUUAUUCAAUCACUAGAUUUUUCUAUCGUACAAUGCGGUAUUUGUGAAUGGGAAGAAAAGCUGUCGUUUUCAUGCUGUAUCCUUUGUCCUGAUCUGAGCCGUACUAUUUGAAGGCAUGAGGACGAUAAAUUAUUCUUCUUUCCCUGCUGUAUCUCACUUCGGGUGCGCGUGAUUGUGGAUUCCAGCAUCUAUCUUCAUUAGAAUAUCUGUUUGUGUAGCUAAUAAGCAAGUGUCCAAUAUACCUUUAAGAUUGUCUUCUCUCCAUUCCUGAAACCUGCAAAAUUCUCUGAUCUUUUUCUGGAGUAAAUAUUAGACUUAGUAAUAUAGUGCUUUGCUGCUGGGCUUGGAGGAUUUUUCUUUCUGAUGAAUCAUGCACGGAGUAGAUGAGACUUCUUUGCUUAGUGGAAAACUUGUGUUCCUGUAUAAAAAAUGCAAUUGACUGAGGAUAUAAUAGGAAGUGGCACUGCUGUGGAUACCUGAGAGGCGAGAUAGUUCUUCUGGCUCUAUUCACCCAAAGGCAUCAGUUGAAUACGAGUGCCAUACUUGUUUUUGCAAUAUGUCCUGUUGUAAAGAAGUCCUCAUCCUGAUUACGGAGAAUCUGAAAUGAGAUUAAGAGUCCAUUUUCUUUUCAGUUUUCACAUGGAAGAUAUACAUUUUUUAUUUAAAGAAACAAAUAAAGGGGACGUACUUAUUCUUUGACACUGAAAGAUAUAUCAGUUGUUGAUAGCUCCCAUUGGCAAAUUAUCGCAUGCCUUUCCAGAAAGAGAAAACGUGUAUGGAAGAAUCUUACCCUUGCUUAUCACCUCUAUAAUCUCCAUCUUAACGACAAAUGUAGCUGCACCAAUUUUCUUUAGUGCAACUAGUUUUUCUUUUAAAAAAAAUAAUCUUGGGUUCAGAUGGAUGUAAACUGUAUGUUUUUUUUUAAUAUAUACUAAGCCAAAUUCCACAACACCAUCUGAAUUUAGAUCCCCCUUUGGAACGAAGGAAAUUUUCCUGUUUCUUGCGUUUUCUUGUGAAAAUGAAUUGAUUCAUGCAAAAUAGUGAAAUUCUUGUGUGAUUCUAGAAAAUUCCUGGUUCCAAAGGACCAGCCAAUGUGUUGGGAUUUCAUGUUUGUCUUAGGGUUUUUUUUUUUCAACUCGCUGUUGUAUAUGAUAGAUCAUUGAAUUGAAGGAAAAUAAUUGGAGGUUCAGCAUCAGGUUCGGGCGUUGUCACAGUGUUGAUAUUGCCCAAAUACAAAAAAUGCUUAUUAUUAUUAUUAUGGUGCGCUGUCACAAUCAUUGUAGCAAGAACUGAUUGAAAAGAAGAAUAAAUUAGUUACAGUGUGCUGGAGAAAGAAAUGCUUUCAAUCGGCAAAAUAUCGCAUGCUAUUUUCAUGAAGAAAAAUAUCACAUGCUAUUUUCAAUUGGAAUCUUUGCAGGUCACCUCAGUUGUCUAAGUGAUAGAUGUAGCUGCGCAAAUUGUUUUUAAGUGUCACUUAGUUUCUUCUUUUUAAAACGUGUGUGGACCACAAAAUUUUGGAGCCACCGGCCCGCUGGAUAAUAUUUUUGUUAACAUUCGCAGUGAUAAACCAAGACUAACGUCACAAUCACAGUGAUAAAUAAAAACAAAAACUAAUUGCACAAUUUGUCUGUAAAUCGCGAGACGAAUCUUUUAAGCCUAGUUACUCUAUAAUUGGACAAUGUUUGUCAAAUAAAAAUAAAAGUGCUACAGUGUCAAAAUUCAAAAACUUUUCAGAUCUAAACAAGGCCUAAGCUUAAUUUUGCAAUAAUGUAUGAGUUUAAAAUUCCAUUAAAAACGCCCACUUCUGUAAAUCCUACCGAGUCACUAAAUUUGAUAUGAUUGCGAUUUCGCCACUCCCCCUCCUCCCCCUCCCCCUAGCGGUUUUCAGCACCGGUGGUUGUACAUGACAAAUAUUGAAGGAAAAUAAAUUGAGUUUGCUGGAAGCAUCAGGUUCGAGUAUGUGCCAUAGUCUUGAUUAUUUCCCAAAUAUAAUGAUAUUUUCACAAUUAUGAUAGCAAGACUUGAUUGAAAGAAGAGUUAAGCUUUACUCAUAGUUACUUCACUCUCCCAAAAUAUGAGGACUUCGGGCCUUUAAAUUUAUCCCAUUAUGCCAUCUAAUUAAAACCAGCCAAUAAUAUUAGGGCAUCUCCAAGAGUUUUUGUAAAUCUCACUCUCUAAAUUAUCAUUUAGAAAACUAUUUCUAAAUCGCUUUCUAUAUUUCUUUACUCUCCAACAACUUUUCUGUCUCUCAUGCGCACUCUAGAGAGUCAUUCUAGUCUUCUAUUUUUGGCUAGCGAAAAAUCCAAAAUAGAAGAUGGCUUGCAUAACCAUUUAGACAAGUUGUUGAAGGUUAAUUUUUCACCAAAAUCUCUAUUCCUAGCAUUUAGGGAGGAUUUAGAGAGUCUCUUGGAGUUGCUAUGCGGCAUGGAUUAGCCUAGCAGAUUGGAAUUAAAGCCAAUGAGGAGAUAGCAUGCCUGUUUAAUGAGACAUGAUGAAAUUUUUCUUUGCUAGUUAACUUGUGAUUAAAAUUUCUAGAAAUCCUUGUUUAAUUUUGGGAUGGAGGGAAGUAUUUGGCAAAUCAUAGCAUCCUAUUUUGAGAAAGAGAUAAACAGAAUGCAUUGGAAUCUUUGAUUAUUUAGCUUUUUGUAGUCUCCAUCUACUUGGUGACAAAUGUAGCUACACCACUUGUUUUAAGUGAACACUAGUUUUUCUUUGGAAAACCCCUUGGAAAUCUUGGAACGUGAUAGAUAAUAUAUCCUUGGUAAUAUUUACAUUUUUUAAUAAAUUAAGCUUAGCUUCACAAUACCAUCUGACUUUAUGUUCCACCAAAACAUCAACUACAUCCUAUAGUCCUGCUGAGUUGUUAAAUUUUGAUAUAAUAAAAUUGUUGGGUUUAAUUUCCCAUAGUGUUUAGAGCUCGUCAUACAUGAUUGGUUAUUGAAGGAAAAUAAGUUGAGCUUGCUACAAGCAUCAGGUUUGGAUAUUUAUCACAAUCUUGGUUAUUUCUAAAACAAACGGUGUGGUCAUUAUCAUGAUAGCAAAAGUUUACUAAAAGAAGAAUUACUUUACUCCUAGUUACUCUCUAUAUCCCAAAAUAUAAGGACUUUUGGCGCUUAAAUAUCUCAAAAUAUAAGGACUUUUGAUAAGUGUGAUUAAAACUAACCAAUUAUUGAAUGUGAUUAUAUAGCCCAAGAUAAUUGCUAAUUAAGCCAAUCAGGUGCUAGCCUGUCUAUUUAAUGAGGAAGCAUGAUGAACUUUUCCUUUGGUACUUAGUUUUUCAAAAAUAUUUUUGGACGUCUUUAUAUGUUGGUUUCAUAGAGUAGGUGGCAAAUUGUCGCAUGCUAUUGUAUUCCCUCCAUUCACAAAACAAUGCAGUUCUUGCUUUUUAAGAAGCCAAAUAUUUUAAUAUUUGACUAAAUUUAUAUAAAAAUUAAUACAAAAUAAGUAUCAUUAUAUUAGUUAUAGGAUAUAUUUUUAUAAUAAAUUUAUUUAGAGAUAUGAAUGUUAAUACUAUUUACUAUAAACUUGGUCAACCUUGAGGUAGUUUGACUGGCAUGAAUCCUGCAAUUGCAUUGUUUUGUAGACGGAGGGAGUAAGAAAGAGAGAAAACAAUGUGCAUUGUAAUCUUUUGCUUAUUGUUGUAGUAGUCUCCAUCAUAGUGAAAAAUGUAGUUGCACCAUUUGUUUUAAGUGAGGACUAGUUUUUUCUUUGAAAACAUUAUGUACACUUAGAAAUCUUGGAGUCAUCUAGAAAAUAUAUCUUUGAGAAUUUAUGGUUUUUAUUAAUAAACUAAGUUUAACUUCAAAAUAACAUCCGAGUUCAAAUUCUAUGAAAAUAGUCGUUAUACUUUGUAAAGCCUACUGAAUUAUUAAUUUUCUAUAUAACGAUAAAUCAUUGAAGAAAAAUAAAGUGGAACUUGCUAGAAGCAACCAGUUUUUGCGUCAUUACAAUGUUGAAUAUUUCCCAAAUUAAAUAGGAUGAAAUUGUCGCAGUCGUGAUAGUAAGACUUGUUAGUGUGAUAGAAAAGAAAAUACUCCCAUUAAAUUAUCGCUUAUUGUUGUUGUAAGAAAGAGAGAAAACGAUGUGCAUUGAAAUACUCCCUCUAUCCUAAAUUAUACAUUCCAAGAAUCAUGGAGAGUCAAAUUAUCUUAAAUUUGACCAAAUUUAUAUAAUAAAAUAAUAACAUUUAUGAUAUCAACUAAGUACCAUUAAAUUAUUUAUUAAUUAUAUUUUCAUAGUAUAUCUACUUGAUCUCAUAAAUUUUUAUAAUUCUUUCUAUAAUUUUUGUCAAACUUAAGAUGCUUUGACUCUCCAAAAUUCUUGUAAUGCCUUAUAAUUUGGGAUGGAUGGAGUAUUUGCUUAUUGCCUCCCUCUUAUAGUGACAAAUGUAGUUGCAUCGCUCAUGUUAAAGUGGCAACUAGUUUUAUUUUAAAAACACUGUGCACACUUGGGUCUUGGGUCAUGUAGAUAAUAGUCACUUUGUCCUAAAAUAUAAGGUAUCGAAACAUUCAAAGUUAUUCUAAAUUAUAAGAGAUUCUAUAUGAACAAAUCCUUCUAAGGCAACAUUCACAUGUACCUACCAUUAAUAUCUAUCACUAACUUAAAUGAAUUAAUCAGAAAGGGUGUACCACAUAAUAUGUCUUAAAAUUGCGUGGAUACUUUAUAUUUGAGGACAGAAUGAGAUACAUCUUUUUGUAACAUUUAUGGUUUUAUAAAUAGACUAAGCUCAACUUCACAAUACCAUAUGAGUUUAAAUUCCAUCAAAAUAACAAUUAUAUGUUGUAAAAUCUUGCUGAAUUGUUAAUUUUUUAUAUGAUGGAGAUUUCGGUUUUCCCCUAAUUUUUAUAACGCUGCUGUACAUGAUAAAAAUCAUUGAAGGAAAAGUAAAAGUGGAACUUGAUGGAGAAGCAUAAAUUAGCGUUGUCACAAUCUUGAUGGUUGCCCAAAUUAAAUAGGACAGAAUUGUCGCAAUCAUAAUAGCAAGGCUUGAUUGUAAUUUACGGUGUGCUAGAAAAGAAAAUGCUCCUAAUUAGUAGUGUAGUUGACAAUUUACUUUACUAUAAAUAAGGUCAGUCUCAAUGUAUAGUUUCAUGACACAGUUACCAAGACUAUAAACUAGGUAACCGAGCCAUAUGAGUUUCAUGGGGAUGAAACUCCUCUCUCAUCUGAUGAAACUCUUUUAUUUAAUGACUCUGCUAAGUCAGCAAUUUUGCUUAUAUGACACCCUAUUUAAUGUGCAUGACACUAAACAUGCAUUGAGAAUAGACGCCUUGUAAAGGGAUGCGCCACUUCUUGUCUAGCUUAUAUUAUAUAAUUGAGAUAUCGUCCAUUCAACAAGAAGAAUAGAAUUGACUUUACCGUUGCCAUCCCUAGUGGGUCAUGUGCAUUAUUGCCUAUUGGCCUCUUGCCACGAAUGAUUCCCACCUGUUCUUGAGGAAUCUCUCACGUAUAUACUUCCUCUACUCAUGAAAGAAACACAAUUAUAGGAUCUAUGCCGACCAAACUAGCUCAAGUUUGAUUAAUUUUAUAGUAAAUAUUAUUAAUAUUUAUGUCUCAGAAUAAAUUAUUGUAAAAAUAUAUUCCAUAAUUAAUAUAAUGAUCAAUACUUUUUAUAUAAAUUUAGUCAAGUUCAAAUGAUUUGACUCUUCAAAAAACAAGAAUUUUAUUUAUUUAUUUUUGACGGAAGGGAGUGUAAACAUAAUAUAUAUGCAAUACAGCAGGCAUACAACAUGUUGUUUUUGUUUCGUGUCCUUGGCAUUCAGUCGGCUUCGUUUACACCCAUUUUUCAACAAAACUACAGCAUGUCCUUUUCAGAAAGAGGGAAAACAACAACCCCCACUAUUGUAAUAUUUGUUUGUCACCUCUGCAGUCUCCAUCUAUCUUAAUUUAGUGGCAAAUGCAGCUACCACAAUUUUCUUCAAGUGUAAAAAAAGGUAUAUAUAUGAACGUGGUUGCUGGACCAUCAGGGUUUCAGGUGCAUUCACAAUCUUGAUUUUUUUUUGUAGCGCAACACUGUAUUGUCAGUUGUCACAGUCUUGAUUGUUGAACUGCCCAAAUAAGAAAACCAACAGUUAGAUCAAAUAAUUUCAGUAUAAACAUAGUGGGGACCUCUCGUCAAAAAAAAAAAAAAAGACCGAUCAUCAAGAGAUUGUUCUUAUCCAUCCGUCUAUCAGCGCUAGCUAUAUCAUCCUCACCGUUCAUCGUCGAUCGCCCCAUAAAUAGUGCCGCCCUUGCAUACAUUUGCUGCAGAAGCGAGAGCAAACUCACCGAGAUGGCCGAGUUUUUCCACGCCGGCAGGACCAACACCGACGACUGCUACGACGCCGGCAAGCACAUGCACGGCAGCAGGAGGGUGUACGGACACGACGACGCCAGCGUACGCCGACGACUGCUACAACGGCGGCGAGCUGGGCGCCCUCGCCGCCGGCGCCGCCUCCGCCUCCGCCUCCGCACUGGUAAAUAUAUAUAAUGAUGAUAUAAUGCAUGUAAAUCCUAGCUAAAUAACAUCUGGCCGGUUCUGGUCUGGUCUGGUGUGAUGUAGAAGGAGCAGAAGGAGGCCAAGCAGCGCAGCAGGGCGCACGACAGCCACUUCUGUCACCACUAGAGAUCGUCGAUCCGAUGAACUAUUCAUGGCCUGCAUGCAUCGUCUUCCUGCUGGCUGCUGAGGCUGUGAGCUUGUAGCGUGUGCCAUGCAAUAUGCAUGGCAGCGCGCGCAUAUAUAUGUGCCCAUCUACCUGCGUGUCAUCCCCUCAUCGUCGUCUGUAUAAAUAAAUAAAAGUAAAUAAGAGCAGAUGUGCUGCUGCUCAGUCCUGCUGCUAGUGUGUAACGUUUGCAAUCUACAGUACAAGCGCGCAUAUGCACAUAAUAUACGGUGCCCUGUCGUGUCGCGUACUUCCAUAUCUUCUGCAGUGUGUAACUAUUGAGAUGCAAUAGUAUAUAUAUUGUCUGUUAAUAUAUGGAAGUCAUCUCGUUUAAUUGAAUAGCUAUAACUGCCAUAUGUAUUUUUAUUUAAUUCAAGUUAUUUAAGAUCAAAAUUUUAAAAUAUUGACUAUUAAAAUCUUUUAAAAUAGAUACUCACUACCAGAAGGCAGAUUAUCCCUUGGCAGCCAACAAUUUCAAUUUCCUUGAUAGCCAACUUGAACCCCCAUGGAAUACAUUCUUACCUUAGGGGUUAUAAGAAACCUCCAAAGAAAUGCAUAUUCUAGAGUACUAAACCAAACCGCCAAGGUAAUUGGUCAUUUGCUUGAGUCUAGUCCAAACGUUCCUUGAGUAUUAUUACAAACUGUGAAGAUAAUUAUUUAUUUUCUUGGCUAUUAUUUGAAAUUUCCAAUGUAUAAUUCAUAUAUUACUUGAGUCCUAUUCAAAACCACCAAGGCGCCAAAGUAAUUCAUAUUGCCUUGAGUAUAAUUGAAAGCUAUCAAGAAAGUGCUAGUUUCCUAGGGUACAAAAGUAAAUAAUCAUUGUAGCUGCCAAGAGAAAGUCGUGCAUUUUCUAGUCAUUACCACCAGUAUAAUAGACUCAUUGCAACCUUGUUAGUGCUCCCUUGGCACGUUUGUGGAAUGAAAUAAGUUUUUUUUUCCAUGGUACAUUAAUCCAACAAAUGGUACAAUUUUGAGUCAUUAUCAGAGACAAAUGGUACAAUUUUGAGUCAUUAUCAGAGAAUGCAUAGUAGCACUUAGCUUGAGAUGUCUAGUUAGUUUUUGGAUGAAGACAAAGUUUAUAUCAAAGUUGCAGAGCUUGAAGAGAUCUUUAGCUUUGUAGUUGAUGAUAUUUUCAAUUGAAACCAUUUAGAGUCCAAAAAUUAUGUUUCAAGUUCUCAUAGCUUUGAAAUUCAUUUUUUUUUACUUUCCAAAGAACUCAGGUGGAGAUACAACCUAAAUAAAAGUUAUAGUACUCGAUAUGAUCUAAAAAUUUUUAGGUUAAACUAUUUUUUCAUUUAGGAUUUCAAAUAUUAAUUACAAGAUUCACUAAAGUAAAAGCAAAAUAAAAUAAUCAUUCACUUAAUCACUAGUUACUUUGAGGUGUAGUGGUAAGUGUGCUUCACAUGUACUCCCUCUAUUAUGUAAUACAGGGCGUUCUAAAAAUUUUAAGAUAAUUUAAGAGAACAAUUAAAUAACGCAUGUACCCAUGGAUUGUUCUAAUUAUAGAAUUUCUUCUCAAAUCAUGGCUUUCUUUUUAACAAACCUUACCAAAUCAAAAUAUAAUCAUUAUAUAGAUUGUAUUAUAUUUCAAUACAAAUUUUAAAAGCCACAAUGCACUUUAUUUCAUAAUAGAGGGAGUAUAUUCUUGGGGUCAUCGGCAUGCAAGAAAAUAUAUAUUUAGGCAUUUGGCGACUAUUAUAAUUUACUUGGCGGUCAUCAGCACUCAAGAAAAUAUAUAUCUUGGGGCUCUUCAUUUCCCUUAUAAUGUGAAAAAAUUGACCACAUUUUUGUUUUCUUAGCGGAGAAACCCCCAAGAAUAUCAUUGUGGUGGUCGCCUAAUCGAAUUUGCCUUACUGUCUAUCCUUGGCGAUCCUUCUUUGAGGAUCAGUCACCACAAAUGAUUUCCAUGAUAGACGAUGUUAAGACAACUUGUUCAUCUAUCAUUUCUCCUAAGUAAAAGUGUUUGAACUUUUACGCUACCAUCAAUACCUAAAAUCUUAUACACACUACUACUGUAUAUUAAUUUUAGACGCACCGCCUCAUGAGUCAUGACCUCAAUCUUUUUUUCUAAAACACUGUCUAAUUGAACAUUAUCGUACCUUGACACUUUGACAAGAAGGUGAUUUUUUACCUUUCAGGACAUGUGCUCUCAGCCUCUCAAAGCACAUUUAACUUUAUCACUUUGACAAUGACAUCCAAACCUAGUUUCGGCCAUUUCUGUCUAGCGGUUUGCAGUUCACUAUAUAUUCAAACUGUUCGGGCCUGUUCAUUGAACGAUGCUCUGAGCAGGUCUGGUCGGACAUACCAUCUUUUCUUUUAGGUGAUUUUCGAACGACCAUUAUUUAAGAGGGUCACCUCUAAAAAUAUUAUUUUUAUAGACUUGUUUGCAUACUCAGAUCAUACCUAGAAACUCUAGAAACUCGAGUAGGAACGAAAUUUUUGUACUAGCAAUUUCAAUGCGGCCCAUACUCUCUUCCCUCUUUUCUCUUCCUUUCCUCACAGUCAAACUCCUUGGCCAGUGACUCAGCUAUUCUCUCUUUCGAGGCAAGCAUGGAGAAGCAGCGGCAUAAAAGUUUUGGUUGUGUCCAGACGAGUUGUGCGGGAUAGGCAUAUAUUAUACUACCUUCUUUAUAAAUUGUAAAAUAUUUUAGCUUUUUUUUAGAUACAUUACUUUUACUAUGUAUUUAGACAUAGGGUCAUAUUAUAUAUCUAAGUACAUAGCAAAAGUUAUAUAUUUAGAAAAAUCAAAACGUUUUAUAAGUUGGUAUACAGAGAGUACUAGAUAUAUAGUAGAUACCGAUACAAGAUCCCAGCAUAUAUUUCUUGGGGCAUAUUAUUUUCUUUGUGUAGGGACUGUAACGCCUACAAGAGAGAGAAGGGGGGGGAGAGGUUGAAUUGACUAACUUAAAAUCUACUUUUAACUAUAACCUCUAAUUACUGCCUAGUCAAACCUAUGCAAUAAAGUAAUCUAUUUAUAUUGCAACUACGGUUUCGCUAGAUGUGUGUCGCUAUCUCUACUACAAAAUAUUCACCUAUUUUUAGAGGCAAUUGACAUAAAACAAUUGCUCCAAAAAUUAUACUUUUAGGGGGGGCGCAGUUUCUUAUGUCAACUUUUCCUUAAAAUAGGUGUAUUUCUUUUUUUUUUGAAACCAAAUAGGUGUAUUUCUAUGUGCAGUUGACUUACUUAAUCGUCCUUAAUAAUAAAUAGAUUACCAGUGACCAGGUACCGUAGCCUGACUGGUGCUAAGAGGUUAUCGUACUGGUGAUGAAGAAUCUGAAAUGAGGGUAGGGGUUACGGGCACAUUAUAUUUCGUUUCAGUUUUCACACGGCCGGAGAGUUUUUACAUUCCUUUUCUUUUUGUUUGCUUAAAGAAAAGCAACGCAAACGACGGUAUGUAUAGUACAAUAAUAUUCUUCGACACUGAAAGAAGUAGAAAUGGAAUUGAUGUGUCGUCAUGUCUUGGCAGCAAGAGUUCCUGAAAGAAGAAUAACUUUACAUGAGUGCUGGAAAAAAAAUGCUCCCGGCCGGCCAGUUGGCAAGUUAUCGCAUUCCCUUUUCUGAAAGAGAGAAAGCAACGCGCGCGCAUUGGCAUCUCGACGCCUGCAUGCGCAUAUCAUCUAUCUCGGUGAUAAAUUUAGCUACACCAACAGCUUUUAAUUAGUACGCAUCGACUAAUUUUUUCCCUUUGAUUUGAAAACAUUGUGUGUACUGAACUUCGGAAAUCUUUAUGUGUACGUCAUAUAUUUUGUAACAAUAUUAUUUAUGGUUUUUUAUAUACAAAAGUUAUGAAGCUGAAUUUCACAAUACCAUUCGAAAUGAAUUUUUUCGCUUUGUAACAUUUAUAAUUAAUAAUGCAGGAUUUACAUUUCCUGCUGAUGAACUCACUGUAGUUUAUUUUUGAGGUGUGUAGAGAUAAGAGGAGUUUGCUGAAAGCAUCAGGUUCGGGCAUUAUUGCCACACAAAUCUUGGCCAAAUAUAUACCCCCAAAUAAACCGCUAAUUAAAAGGCUAGCUUUCAUUUCAUUUCCAACAAAAGUUCAUGCAAAUAUAUAAUUAAUAACUAUAAUUUAAAUUAAUAAUUAUAUAUUAAAUUAAAAGGAUUGGGAUGAUAAGCUAGCCAUCAUAACAUCCGUCAUGAAAUUGUUCUCAUCCGCCAAAUCCUGACCGUCCGUCCAUCGUCACGGCCUGCCAGCCCGCGAUCAUCAUCGCUCUAUAAAUAGGUGCGCUCCGUUUGCUGAGCAAGAGGCAAACGCCUGCACUAGCGCUAGCAGCAAUCCAUUGUGUGUAAUUAAUUGUAACCCGGGCCGGCCCGACACUGCACGAGAUGGCCGACUACUACCACGGCGGCAGGGCCAGCAUGUACGACGACUGCUACGACGCCGGCAGGCACGGCGGCGGCAGCAUGAAGGCCUACUCGCGCACCGACGAGUACUAUGACAACGUGCAGGACGACCGCAUCAGGAUGAGGCCCGUGUACGCCGACGACGACUGUACUGGCUACAACGGCGGCGGCUACGGCGCCGGCAGGCAGACCGCCGUCUACACUACUGACGAGUACUCCCGCGGCGGCGGCUAUGGCGGCUACGGCGGCGAGCAGGAGCACUUCAAGAGAGAGGAGAGGGAGCACAAGCACAAGGAGCGCCUCGGCGAGGUGGGCGCCCUCGCCGGCGGCGCCUUUGCCCUGGUAAUUAACGUAGCUACCAUAAUUAUUAAUCUUGAUCGAUCGACAAGUGUGUGUGUAUAUAUAUAUAUAUAUAUAUAUAUAUAUAUAUAUAUAUAUAUAUAAUUCCAGCUGAUGGAACGUACGGUGCGCAUGCAUGAAUAUAUAUACUCCUAUGUUGCAGUACGAGGGGCACCGUGCGACGAAGGACCCGGCGAACGCGCAGAGGCACAAGAUCGAGGCCGGCGUGGCGGCGGCGGCGGCGCUGGGCGCCGGCGGCUACGCGUACCACGAGCACCGCGAGCAGAAGGCGGCCCACUACGAGACCAAGCAGCAGGCGCCGGAGCACAGCCACAGGGUGCCGCACGGCUACUACUGCAACUGAAACUCAUCCGAUCGAUCGAUGCAUAUGCAGAUGCAGAUCAUGCAGAUGGACGAUCGAACGAAUGCAUCAGCAUCAACUCGAUCCUAUGGACUGCCGUACGUACGUACGUACGUACUAUACGUGCGUGUAAGUAAAUAAGAGCAGACGUGACGUGUGUGUUGCUCACUACUCAUACUUAUUUGCAAAAUAAUAACUAAGCGCAUGCUUCUGCAGCGUGUAAUAAACGAUCACUAUUAGGCCUUGUUAUUUGGAUGUAGUCGGAUUCGUAUCAAUCCACAUGUGUUAAAGGUGGAUUGGAGUGGAACUUAAACUAAAUUCCACCCCAGUCCACUCCAACACAUGUGGAUUGAGAUGAAUCCGACAAUAUUCAAACAAGGCCUUAAAUGUAUUGAUGCAUGCAAUUAAACUAUGUAUAUAUUGUGUGUUAAUGUCAGCCAUCUCUGUCAGAAAAAAGAAUACGAUUCUGGCUUCAUCGUCCUAGUCAAAUUUUCUAAAGUCUAACCAGAUUUAGACAAAAUUGUAUCAACAUCUAAACUUUUAUAUAAAUUAACAAUGUAAAAAUGAUUUAUUAUGAAAAAAAUCUUCCAUAAUAUAUAUGUAACAAAUUUCAUGUAUUGUGUAUUAUGAAAAACAUGCACCUAAUUUUGAGAAUUUAUCGAGCAAACUUUUUAAACUUUUGAUUACUAUAAUCACUACAAAAAAAUUAAAUAUUCUUAUAGCAUCCAGAAUUUAUUGAGCUUGAGGUGUGAAUAAAUGAAACCACCAAGUUUUCGUCUAGCUAUUUAUAAAUAGAAGUCCCCGAAAGCCCCAUCGAUGACUUGUUAAGGGCACUCACAAUGCAGACUCUAUCAUAGAGUCUAAAGUUAUUUAUUACCUCGAACAAUGUGGACUUGGAGUCUAAAUAAGACUUGGAGUCUUAUUUUUUCUACCUCUUUCUUCAAUAAAUAUGCUGCCACAUCAGCAAAAUACCAUAAAUAAUAUGUAAUUAAGUGUCUUGGACUCUGUGAUAGAGUCUUGCAUUGUGAGUGCCCUAAUGAAAUCCAAUAGAACAAAUCAAAUCCAAUACAAAUCAAAUUCAAAUCAAACCAUCAUAUAUACAUAUAUAUAUAUAUAUAUACACACUCUAGAUCAAGGACCAAAUACAUGGCAAUUCAAGGCACCGACAAUGUAUAGAAAAAAAAAAACCAAAAACAAACAGAGCCUCACCCGAUGUCGCCGGCCACAAUCAACAAUGCUGACACCCCCACCCCCCCCCCCCCCCGGGGACACAGCCUCGCCCUCGCCUGCCGCCGUCCGGCACGCGCCCUCGCCUACCGCUGCCCGGGACACGGCCUCGCGCUCGCCUGCCACUGCCCAGGAUGUGCCCUCGCCUGCCGCCGCCCGGGACACGGCCUCGCGCUCGCCUGCCGCUGCCCGGGACGUGCCCUCGUCUGCUGCCGAGCCGCAAGCUACAGAGCACUGAUGGGAUGAGACGCAGUGUGGAGAUGGUUGAACUCCCCUCGCCGCUAUUACCCUAGCAGAGCAGCAGCAGAUCUAGAUUUCUCUUGUCUUGUCUUCGUUUGGAAGUGCAACUGGAUGGGAUUGGAGGAGUGGCUGGGCAACGCAACGCGGAUGAGAUGAUGGAAUCGGACGGCUGCUCUGCCUCUACCUACGCUUUGCUGUUGCUCGUCCAUCCGUCGCUCCGUACCUGAAGCAUUAUAAAAAAAAUAAAAAAAAUAUCUCUGAAAUCUACAUGUAAAUACUAAUAUAUACUUUAAUCUAUAUCAAUGUCUAAUACUAAUAAAGAGGUAAAAUUUUAGCUAAUUUUUUGGUCUGGUAUUUUUUUAGUCUGCCCUCUCUUGCUAAGCAUACCAUGUUUAGCUUAUGUACUCAUCUCGGACUCCACCUCACAAAAAAACAAAAGAUUUUGUUACUAAAUUAUUGAUGCAGUAAUGAUUAUAAAAAAUUAUUUUCAUUAAAAAUCUAAAUCAAUCAAUAGUAUAUGAACUAAAUCUUGAUCAAUUUAUUGUAGUUUGUUGUCUAAUCCAGUCUAAAUAAAUGUAUUUCUGGAAUCAUUGAUGAUGACUGCCAUGUAAAAAAAUAAGAGAUGUCUCUUGUCAUAAUCAUCAUCGCACAAACUAAUUCUUGAAACUUCGGCACAUAACUCCUUGCAUACUAUAAUUAAAUAUUUUAUGGGUCCUAAAAAAGUCACAGAGCUCGAUUGAUUUAGACACGUCGGCAAAUAAUCUAUUUUUUGUGUCUUGGAACAUGACACCAAAAGAAUCACUCAAGGUUAUAUUUUAAUUUGAUACAAAUUUAAUAAAACAUUUUUAUAUUAAUGACAACACUAAGUUAUAUUAUGGAUAUCAUAGUCAUUGUAAAAAUAAAUUAUAAAUAAGUUCUAUACAAAGGAUAAAUUAUAAAUAGAAAAUAUAUCAUUAUCAUGGUCCCUUCUCAUUAAGGUUUGAAAGUUUAAUUUUUCUCCCGUUGCAACGCACGGACAUGUUUUGCUAGUGACAUAUAAAUUUUUAAAUUUUUUUAUGCCCUUCGAAAGUUUUUUUAUGGAACCGCUGCACAACUUGAGGUGGUCUCACCCAGUGCAGUUUUAUUUCUGCAUACAAAUACAACCAAUUGUUUAUCUUGUCGUGCUAAUGAAAGUCACUUAGCUUAAAAGAUACUCCCACCAUCCUAAAUUUAAGUUAUUCUAAAAAUCUUGGAGAGUCAAAAUAUCUCAAAUUUGAUUAAAUUUGUAUGAUAAGAUAAUAAACAUUUAUGAUAUCAACUAAGUAUCAUUAGGUUCUUUAUUAAAUAUAUUUUCAUAUAUAAUAUAUCUAUUUGAUGUCAUAAAUCUUUGUAAUUCUUUCUAUAUAUAAAUUUUGUCAAACUUGAGAUAUUUUGAUUCUUCAAUAUUCUUGGAAUGACUUAUAAUUUAGAAUAAGGGAGUAUAAUGCAAUGCAAGAAAAAAAAUAAUAAAUCACGUCGCUGGUCUCUAUUCUAUAUAUACCAAUUCAAAAUAUCGGUGUACUAUGUACGAACUGUGAUGAUAAUAGUCUCCAGUUAGCUGCUUGUAUGAAUUGUGAUAUGGUCUGUGCAACAAUCAGAUCAUGUGAUCGGUCUUCGUCUGAAGAUUGGCUGGAGAUAUGAUACGCUUCUCUACCUCAUCGAUCGGAUCCCCGUUCUGCCGUGAAGCAUGUUCUCUGGAAUUAUUUUGCUGAGUUUCAGGAUAUAUACGCCAAUAAUACUCACCGACAGAGUAUGCUAAUUAUUAAUGUCCACUGAAGUCUAUUGGUGACGGAUAUAACAGUGUCGUCUACACAAUGACGAUGCCCUACGUACAUACUAGUUCAUUUCAGACAAUCCUAUACCUAUAGACUAUAGUCAUAGACAUAUACUAGAGCUAGCACGUACUGGACGCCAUCGGAGAAGACGACGGCCGGUAGAGGGAUCGGAGUGUGGCAGCACUGCUAGCUUAGCUAGUGCGUCUGUAGGAUCAAUGGCACCGGUGGUAGUAGAGCUGAUGACGACGACGGCCAGGGACCUGCAGCUCGCUGAUGACACGGCUGCUGCUGCUCACCAGCAAGCACGCGUGCACCAGGUGGGAGAAGACGACGAGGAAGGCAUCAAGCUGGCCAUGGCGGCGGCGCCAGCGGCCGAGGCGUUCGCGGUGCAGGAGCCACCGGCGGACGAGGAGGCCUUGGCGGAGCGGCAGGCGGAGGUGGCCCGGCUCCUGGCCGGGUUCCGGCGGCACCUCGAGGACCGGUCCGCGCACCACCUGGGGUACCCGUACAACCUGGACUUCGACUUCGCCUCGCUGGCGCCGUUCCUGCAGGGCCUCUGCAUCAACAACCUCGGCGACCCCUUCGUGGAGAGCAACUACGGCGUGCACUCCCGACCGCUGGAGGUGGCGGUGCUCGACUGGUUCGCCCGCCUCUGGGACCUCGGCCCCGGCGACUACUGGGGCUACGUCACCAGCUGCGGCACCGAGGGCAACCUGCACGGCCUGCUCGUCGGCCGGGAAGUGUUCCCCGACGGGGUCAUGUACGCCUCCGCCGACUCGCACUACUCCGUGUUCAGGGCGGCCAGGAUGUACAGGGUCAGGUGCGUCAAGGUCGGCACCCUGGUUUCUGGAGAGAUGGACUGUGAUGAUUUUGAGGCCAAGCUGAUGCACAACACAAACAGCCCUGCCAUUGUCAAUGUCAACAUUGGUUAGUACCGUGUGUGGAUGUGGAUCCAUCUCACGCAUGCCAUGCGUCGUGUAGUUGUAGCCCCCUCUUGCUGACAGCACUGCUGUUUGCUCCUUGAAUUGCAUGCAGGAACAACUGUGAAGGGAGCAAUAGAUGAUCUUGACAAGAUCAUAUCGACGCUACAAAAAUGUGGGUUUCAUGACCGAUUCUACAUCCACUGUGAUGGUGCUCUGGCUGGCCUCAUCAUACCGUUUCUCAAACAAGUACAUACACCGUCUGAAUAUAUACCAGUUUUUACAUGAGUGAACACCCUAUCCUCCCAACUGAAACCGUGCUUUUUCUUUUUUUUUUGUCAUUUGGCUCUUCAUUCAUAUUCCAGGCACCAAGGGUGACAUUCAGAAAGCCCGGCAUCGGAAGCGUGAGCGUCUCAGGCCACAAGUUCCUGGGCUGCCCGGUCCCCUGCGGCGUGGUGAUCACGAGGCGAGAGCACGCCGCCGUGCUGUCCACCGACGUCGACUACAUCUCGUCGAGAGACGCCACCAUCACGGGCAGCCGCAACGGCCACGCGCCGCUGUUCCUGUGGUGCGCGCUCAACGCCAAGGGUCGCAGGGGCAUCCGCGACGACGUCCACAGGUGCCUGCGGAACGCGCGCUUCCUGGCGCGCCGCCUCAGGGACGCCGGCGUCAGCGCGGCGCGCCUGAACCCGCUGAGCAUCACGGUGGUGUUGGAGCGGCCGCGCGACGAGGCGUUCGUGCGCAAGUGGCAGCUCUCGUGCCAGGGCGGCGUAGCGCAUGUGGUGGUGAUGCCCAAUGUUGGCGUCGACAAGAUCGCCAGCUUUGUUGAAGACCUUGCUGCUAAGAGGAGGAUCUGGUAUCCGCAUGGUGAAGGACUACGUGUUGGUCCAUGCGUGGCGAAAGAUAUAGGGCAAGAGAAUUGUCUCUGUAGUGGUCUUCAUAAUGUAUCAGAUCGAAGCUAAGAACAAAGUAGACAUGUUUCAGUGUGUCUAAAAUAUGACGGACGCCGGUCGUGUUGUUCUCCAUUUGUCGUUCUAACAAAAACGUAAUAUGACGAAGUGUCUGCCAAUUUAAUCACAUGCAUGAUGAUGGAUAUGUAGGAGACCAAAUAUAAUUGGUUGCUGGGGUGGGCCAAUUUCCCUUUUGAUGAGCCCUUACCAUGUUCUUGGAGACGAAUGACGAUGUAAUUUUCUUGACAGUUUUUCUAUGCCGCAAAAGAAAAUGCCUAAUUUCUUGGUGGUUAGGAUGUAAGAAAAUCUUUGUUAUUAUAAGUAAUUAUACAUGUAAAUGUCAUGUUAGCUUCUUUUCACUUAAACACAUAUGUAUGACAUAUAAAUUUUUAAGUUUUUUUAUGUCCUUGCAACUCUAAUCACGAGACACACGAUUUGCUGGACCGCGGACGUGAUAAAGUUCAUACUUCAUUAAUUUAUCAUCUUCAGUUCAAACACAGUCCAACUCCAAUCCACAUCGAGGAGGAGAAUAUACCUCUAAAUAUUUGUUAGAGGUUAGAUGAUAUUUUGUUUGGAUAAACUGCAAUCAGAUUCCAAGGACUGUGUUAUGAGCCCAAUCCAGCCAGUAGGCACACACAAAAAGCGGUUAGUUCCCUGUGGUAUUGUGGAUUAAUUUUGUAUGAAGUCCGUGCAUAAUAUAUUUUCUUUAAAAAUGUGGUACAAAUUUCUGUACUUUAUAAUUAUACUAGGAAAACAUGUCCGUGCGUUGCAACGGGAUGUGCAUACAUUUUAUUAGGUAAUUGCUUGAAGGGCCUAAUAUUGUGUUUACUACUUAUUUUUAUUGUUAUAUUUGCACCAAUAUAUGCAGAUAACUUAAAGAAACAUUUGAUUUAAUUUGAUUUGAUUGGAUGACAAACAGACGAAUAUUUUAGUUUACAGUAUGAUUAGUUAGGUCAUACUUCCUUAAGGAUAUUUAUAAUCAAAUUACAUUGUCAGCUUAAGGAUAGAAAUAUUUAUGUUUACAUUUUAUUAGGUAAUUGCUUGAAGGGCCUAAUACUGUGUUUACUACUUAUUUUUAUUGUUAUUAUAAGAAAAAGGUAGACUUAUAUAUAUUAAAAAAUCAUGAAAAGAAUGGCACAUUGAGCCACAAUUCGGCGGGAGAGGCAGCAAGAAACGACUACAGAGCAUCUCCCAACCAAGGGAAAUAAAAAAAAAUAAAACUGGAGAUGAAAAGGAGAUGAAAACCAGAAAAAAGCGCGGAUGGACGGUUUAUCCUAUUUUAGGCCUGCUGAACACACACCCGGGCUUUACCUCCGGCUUCCUGGGCCUAGGCCACGCAAGUGUGUUGGUGCAUGUUGCCCGCAGGCCCAUUUAGCUAUUGGCUUGAUCCGAAUCGUUGAUUGUAAUCUGACGGAUGAGGACACUCGUGCCGGGAAUAAAAUCCAUCAGCCGCAGCUGUAAAAAACCCUAGCUUCACUUUCUCUUCCUCCUCCUUCUUUCUCAAGCCGCGUAGCUGACAAAGCAAAACAUACAUGGGCAAAGAGCCAAGUUGAGGGCACCGCCAGCGGGAGCGAGCGCUGCUAGCUGACCUGCGCCGCCACCAGGCUGCUCGGCAGAGCUCACAUGAAGCGUUGGCCGUGCGCGGCUUCGUCGAGCCGGACUGCAGUGGCGCUCAGGCGUCCAGGCAUUCGCGAGCGGCGACCUCAAGCACCCUGGCACUACCGCGUGGCCCAUGUCCCUAUCAGCCGCACGCGUGGCUCCAUGGAACCGCCCUGCAGCGGUGCUCAGGCGUUCUAGCGAUAUGUUUGUGUUUCCCAUAAUUUAUUUGUAUAUAUAGUAAAUAAAGAUAGUUUUAAUCUCGUACAUGGUAAAUCUUGUUGCUUUUCUAUUCGAUUUGGAGCUCCUUUUCAAUUUAAUUUGGAUCAUUGGACGAUUUUUCCUUUCGAGCGAGUUGGAGUCGGUCGAUCUAGGGGAGAAGCCAGACUAAAAUUAGUCCAGACGAAAAUUUUGGCUGAAAUUUUGCCUCUUCAGUAUUAGUAUAGUAUAUAUAGAUAUAGAUAUAGAUAGAUAUAGAGGUAUAGAUAUAGAUAUAGAUUUGAUUUAGAUUUGGAGUUCGAUUGAAUUGGCCGCAUUUGAUUUCGUGUCUGCUUUGGAAGUGAUUUCGUGUCUGAUUUGGAAGAGGAGAUUUGUUUCCGGUAUAUGUUGCGUCUGUACUCCGAAUCGAGGCCCGGCGGACUGGUGGCAGAAGAAAUUUAGGCAGACUGAAAUUUUGGCUCUUUAUAGAUAGGUAUAGAUUAUAAUAUGCAGGGUUUUGAAUUGGUGUGCAUUUUCUAACUUUUACAUUUCAAUUAGUAUUUGCUACAAGUUGGUUCUCAGACGCAAAUGUUUUGUAAAUUAUCAUGAUUGCUUAUACUUUUUAGCUUCUACUACCAACCGUCCUUGGCGUGCUUUGUUGCAUUUUGCUCAAUAUUCAGUCGAAAAUGUGAAGCAUUAAGUCAGAUACAUUGUCAAUUUAAUUGUGGUACACUCCUCUUUGGACUGGCCAUAGAACUUUUAUAUAAGCAGCCGUUGUUUUUGAAAAUUGCUAUAAUAUCAAAAAAUGCAAAUAACAUCUGCAGGAGUAUUUAAUCAUGUUUUUUCUUUUGUUGAUAAGGGAUGUAAUCACAAGUUGAACACAUCUUAUCCAUGCAAAGUAGUGGAUUAUGCCAUAGCAUAAAAAACUCGCGGGUUUUCAACAAGGUCGACAAGACACCGGACCGGACCAGAUCUUCCGAUCAAUCCAGGAAGAAGCUAGAGUUUGGGUAUCGGUGCGGAUAAAGCCUUUUUCAUAUUCUAAUCCGCUUUUCUUUGUCGGAUUCGGUGCGGAGCGGAUAAUACACGGAUGCAGAUGUGGAUAUGGUUUUUUCCGGUAGUCGGAAUUGGUACGGAUAUGGAGCGGAAACGGAUCGGAGACGGAUUUUAAUAGUCGAGUAACAUGUGCAUACAUAGAGAAUUAUAUGUUUGUCAAGAAUUUAUUUAGUACAGAACAAGAAUAGACAAUAGAUAAUAAUCUUGCAUUGCAUUCCUUGUUGCUGCUCUCACACUAAUAAUUAACACUUAACAUGAUAUCUUCACUAAAAAAUAAUAAGUUAUUAGCCAAUAAAUAAUAGCAUCUAGCAAAUUUCUUAAUUUAAAAAUUAGAACAUUAAACAACCACAUCAUAAAAUAAAAUUCCUCAGCUAACAAAUUUUUUAAAAUCCUAAAUUUUUUAGUCUUGGAAGAGAAACCUUCGGAUAUCCUAUUUUAAACAUCGGAUAAUCUGCAUAAAAUUUGCGGAUAAUCCAUAUCCGCCGGAUUUUACCUAUUCCAUAUCCUACCCUGUAUCCGCAGACAAUCGGAUUCGGAUUAUCCGUAUCCGCAGGGAUGUUAAAAGUUCUUCUUCAUAUCAUCAAAAUUCGGAUUUAGAUCGGAUCGGAUUGGUUCGGAGAAUUAUCCAUACCACUUUCACUCCUAGCGGGUAAUAAGGCCGUGGAGGCAUGUUUAGUUGUCACAGCAAGAUAUGUAAAUUAGGUUCUUAGCUUGCUGGGGGUGAUGUGGCUUCCUGGGUUCCUUGGAACGCUGCAAAAAGGUGCCUCUAGCGCCAUGUAAACAUUGUAAAUGAUGCUUCUUCUUAUUAAUAAAAGCCGGCAAUGAAUUUUUCGGAAAAAAACAUAGCAUCCAUACAUGCAGUUUUUUUAAUGUGUGAACAAUAGACUUAUUUUGUUCCAAAGUUUCCGUUUUUCCUCAUUUUUUGAACAUGCAGGUGUAUAUGGUGUAUGUAUUGAGUGUUUCUGGCAUUCCUUAUUUGUGACUCUUUCCAUUUCGAAAACAUGUACUCCGUAUUUGUGUACUCACUGACAGGUUGAACUCCAACGAGCGAAAAUCUCAACCGGGGCUUUGUUUAGUUCCGAAAAGAUUUCGGAUUUCGGUACUGUAGCACUUUUGUUUAUUUGUGACAAAUAUUAUCUAAUUAUGGACUAACUAGAAUCAAAAGAUUCGUCUCGCGAUUUACAGCUAAAUUGUGUAAUUAGUUUUUACUUUCGUCUAUAUUUAAUGCUUCAUGCAUGUGCCAUAAGAUUCGAUGUGACGGGAAAUCUUGAAAACCUUUUGCUUUUGGAGUAAAGUAAACAAGACCCAGUACUGAUCGUGAUUCGUGAAUCGAGGGUAGUCCCUUUCCUGUGAUGUGACCAGACUUGGCAAUGGCCUUGUUUAGUUGAAAAAAAAAAUUUGUUUUUGGCUAUUGUAGAAUUUCAUUUUUAUUUGACAAACAUUGUCCAAUCACGGAGUAACUAGGCUCAAAAGAUUCAUCUCACAAAUUACAGGUAAACUGUACAGUUAGUUUUUAUUUUCGUCUAUAUUUAAUGUUUCAUACAUGCGACCAAAGAUUCGAUGUGACGGGGAAUCUUGAAAAUUUUUACGAACUAAACAAGUUGCAGGUAAUUCUCGCUCAUAGUAGAGAUGUAAAAUGUAUGGUUUUAAAAGUUAAGAACCUGGCCUUGUUUAGUUCUAAAAAAUUUUGCAAAACAGACACUGUAGUACUUUCGUUUGUAUUUGACAAAUAUUGUCCAAUCAUGGACUAACUAGGCUCAAAAGAUUCGUCUCGUCAAUUCCGACCAAACUAUGCAAUUAGUUUUUAUUUUCGUCUAUAUUUAAUACUCCAUGCAUGCGUCUAAAGAUUCGAUGUGACGGGGAAUCUAAAAAAUUUUGCAAAAUUUUUUGGGAACUAAACAAGGCCUAAAGUGAAUUUUUCCUAUAUGGGAGCGUCAUCUGUUGUGAUUAGACGGGAAGCACGGCAAUCUGCUCUGCUGCAGUCGCGGAUAGUAACCACGAGUAGGUCACACGUACAUUGCACACCUGACUAUGGGUUCGGGUACGUGGGCCGGUGGAGGCUACUGAAUCCAAACCGGCCGGGCCUGAGAAUGCAGCAGAAACGGGAGGGCAGUGACAGGUGGUGCUGGUGCAGACAGAACGGAACAGGCGCCAUUUCCAUACAAAAACGACGUAACGGUUGGAGCACGCUGCUGUGCUGUGCUCGGUGCUCCCGUUGAAUUGAAUUCAACGACGACGGGGAAAAGUAACGGUGGCAUGCACGCACUCCCAUCCGGCCAAGGACAAGGAGGCCAGGCUUGUUUCGUAGGAUAAUUAGCAUCUCAUUACGGCCUUCUUUUCUUUUAGCACGUCUUUACAAGCGUAAACACUGUGCUUACAUUUGUUUAAUAAUAACCACGCGCCAACGAUCCUUCUUCUACUCCUUGUAGUACGUACUAGGACCAGCACAGGUCAAAGAUGCAAAAAGAUUUGUCUAAAAAAAAAAGAUGCAAAAAGAUUUGUCUAAAAAAAAAAGAUGCAAAAAGAUACUAAGGCUGUCUCCAAUAUGAGACCUAUUUGGGAACCCAAACCCAAAAUAUGUUUCCAACACAAUACCUAUAGCCUCCAACAGAGUACACAUACAGAAGACCUAUUUUGGGUAUCAGGAGAGGCAUAACCCAAAUUUGGGUAUCCUCUCUCCUCGAGACCCAUUUGCAGAGAGUGUUGUCUUUUAGGUCUUGUUGUUGGAGAAGAACAAAAAUAGGUAUGGAACCUUUUAUCUGUAGCGCUACCCAAAGGAUAAAUAGGUGUUGUAAUUUGGGUGACCAUUGUUGGAGAUAGUCGAGGUUCUUUUCUCGGUGUCGGUCUCAUGAAAGAAAUACAUUCUUUGGCACCGCCGCCACCAUGUCCGCCUGCCUCUGGCUGCUUCAUUGAACCAAGCUGCCUACUCGUCUCUUGAGCCGGUGAGUUUACCUUCUUUUCUCCUUCACGAGUGGAUUUAAGCAUGCUUAUGGCUGGAUCUGCAGCAAAGCAGAAGGUGCUCCCGCUAUGACAGUCACGGCUACAAGUCACCAACAGCAGGGCGGGGUUGCGGGCGGGGAAGAAGCUCACGGCUUGCAUCGUCGUCCUCGGUCGCGUUGGAGUACGGUGAGACAAUAAUGUCAGAAGGUGUUGCGUCCGAGAGGUGAGAAGAAACAGCACAUAGGUUGGCAUGGAGCCGAUCAGAGCCUGGCUGUAGGUAUGGCCGGAUAGAUCCUGACUUCAAAGGCUGGCCAGACAACUAAACUGCCAAACCUUGACUCAUCCAAGCAAAAAGCUAGGUUUGGAGGGCAACCAAACGCACUCUUUACUCUUCAGGACCUGUUUAGUUUCUAGCCAUAAAUUUUUCACCAUGUCUCAUCGAAUAUUUAGAUGUAUACAUAAAACAUUAAAUAUAUAUUAAAAAUAACUAAUUGCAUAUUUUAUAUAGAAAGUAAAAGAUGCAUUUUUUUAACAUAAUUAGUCCAUGAUUAAACAUAAUUGCUAUAGUAACACACAUGUGCUAAUGAUAGCUUAAUUAGACUUAAUAAAUUUGUCUCGUGGUUUUUAAACGAGAUAUGUAAUUAUUUUUUUAAUUAGUAUCUAAAUACCUCUUUCGACAUCAUAUGAAACAUCCGAUGUAACACAAAAAAAAAUUUCACCCCAUGUUUACUUCGCGAAAUUUUUUGGAUUUGACUAUUGUAGCAGUUUCGUUUAUAUUUGAAAAUUAUUACCCAACCAUAGAUUAAGGGGGUGUUUGGGACUGCUCUGCUCCACGUUUUUCAGCUCCGCUCCAUGUUUUUUUUAGCCAAACGAUUUUAGCUCCACGCACUUAGUUUGAGGAAAAAUGUGGAGUUGUGAGAGCACCUAAAGAGAUACUCCACAAGCUCCAGUUUUUUGUGGAGCAGAGUUUGUGGAGCAGUCCCAAACACCCUCUAACUAAGCUCAAAAGAUUUGUCUCACAAAUUACAAACAAACUAUACAAUUAGUUAUUCUUUUUACAUAUAUUUAAUACUUCAUGUAUGUAUUUAAAGAUUCGAUGUAAUCUUUUAAAAUUUUUUGGAAACUAAAGAAAACCUAAACAAGGCCUCAACUCAGGCCUUGUUUAGUUCUGAAAAGUUUUCACUUUUCGGUACUGUAGCACUUUCGUUUGUUUGUGACAAAUAUUAUCCAAUUAUGGACUAACUAGGAUCAAAAGAUUCGUCUUGUGAUUUACAGCUAAACUGUGUAAUUAGUUUUUAUUUUCGUCUAUAUUUAAUGUUUCAUGCAUGUGCCACAAGAUUCGAUGUGACGGGAAAUCUUGAAAACUUUUUGGUUUUCAGGGUAAGUAAACAAGGCCUCAGCAUAUCUUAAGAAAGAAUUUGAGUGCCAGUGAAAUCUGGUUGAUGGAUGCCACUCAAUUGUGGUCAAUGGAAUGUUUGUCAAAGCCUCAACACUGACAACAUCCCGCGGAUGGCAAGGCGGCAUCCUCAAAUGAGAGAAACUACCCCAAAGCUAGCUAGCUAACAGUAGCACAAACAUGGGCAUCAUGGACGGGCCCAAUUUUUUAAAAUUUGGCCUUUUUUUGAAAAAAAAUUCUCUUUUGGACCUCUAGAAAACUUAAUCUCAGUUUUGGACCUAGGGGGUCGACGCCAUGCUUCAUGGCGUCGAGGUUACACGUCUCGACGCCAUGGAUCACGGCGUCGAGGUCCCUGGCUGUGCUAGCGUGGCUUCUGACGUGGCAGAGACCUCGACGCCGUAGAUCAUGGCGUCGAGCUCGACGCCAUAGAUCACGGCGUCGAGCUCUGAACUACAUAGCAGAGAGUUCAUCCAGUUCUUGCCGAAGAUCGACGAGCUGGAGAGCUUGCUGGAGGUCUACUUCGUGCAGAUCGACGGCACCCUCAACAAGCUCUCAACUGUAUGUACAUUCUCCUUCCCCUAGUCUCAGAUCAAUCGAUGCGUUCAAUUUCAAUCCAUGUCUUGCGCUGAAGAAACGUUUAAUUUCUUGGUUCAUUCAUGGAUUGGUUUGGAUUGAAAUACUUGAAGCUGCGGGAGUACGUGGACGACACGGAAGACUACAUCAACAUCAUGCUGGACGACAAGCAGAACCAGCUGCUGCAGAUGGGGGUGGUGCUGUCCACGGUAACGCUGCUGGUCACCAGCGCCGUCGUCGUCACCGCCAUCUUCGGCACGAACAUCCACAUCACGCUCUACAGGAUCACCGACCUCAACGUCUUCUGGGAGGCCGUCGGCGGCACGCUCGCCGGCGUAGCCACGCUGUUCCUCGGUGCCAUGCUCUACUACUGGAAGAACGGGAUACUCCGGUGAUCGACGAUCUUCGGCAAGCAGCGUCGAGCUCGACGCCAUGAUCUACGACGUCGAGGUCUCUGCCACGUCAGAAGCCACGCUGGCACGGCCAGGGACCUCGACGCCGUGAUCUAUGGCGUCGAGACAUGUAACCUCGACGUCAUGAAGCAUGGCGUCGAUCCUCUGGGUCCAAAACUGAGAUUAAGUUUUCUAGGGGUCCAAAAGAGAAUUUUUUUUAAAAAAAAAAUGCCAAAUUUUAAAAAAUUGGGAUGGACGGGAGGAGUGGAGCGGUGCACUGCACGGAGAUUCCAAUCCAAUGCCUGCCUCGUUACUGCAGCCUUCCGCCCCCUUGCGAACCACACGGAACGGAAACACAGAGACCUGAGAGCUUUUGAAUGCUCUCCUUCUCCCUCCUCCUCCGGCCACUGUAGCGUCAUCAUCACCCGGACGGACCGGACCUCCUCUGCACAGGCACAGGCAGCCCCUGCUGGAUGCUGCGCUUUGUACUGCCACAUUUUUAAAGGAACCCAGGGCAGGCCACUGGUCCACACUCCACAGCGUGCAGCUGCCCCUGCCCUGCCGCGUCCCCAUUAGAGUACCCUUCCCUUCAACAAGAGCGCCCUGGUGCAUUUGCAACUGCUCGGCUAUUGCUUCGCUUCCCUUCAGCUUCAACACGAGCGCGAGGAACAAGACAAAGGGGAUGAUGGAGAAGCGACACGGCGGUGGCGGAGGCGGAGGCUUCACUGUGCUCCGCCUCCUCGCCGCCGCCGUCUUGGCGUUCCUGCUGCCGCAGUCCGCCGGAGCGGCCGACGACGCCAAGGUAAUCUCUCCUCCUCCUCUUGUUCCGCUCGUCAACUUCUGCAAAUGCACGUGUCGGCUUCAGCGCUACGUACACUAGCGACUCAUCAACUGCAAACCAAUUGGCUCGCAUUUCGCAGUGGCACGCCCAUGCCCAUCCGGUUGCCCACGCCGGCCUCCCGCCGCUCUCGGCACCACCGCCCACCGCGGGAGCUGACGACCUGCCGCCGCCCGUGCCCGUACCCGUGUCCUUCCCGCCGAGCCGCGCGCCCGGCCAGCGCCAGCAGGCCGCCCCGCACUUCGGCUUCCCGCUGCAGCCGGGCCCGGGCGCCGCGGCCCCGGGGACGGCGCCCGCCGGCGAGGGGUACCCGUUCAUCGGCAGCAACCCGACGGUGCCGCUGCCCACCGGCAUGACCGACACUUCCACCGUGCUGCCGCUGCCGGACACCGGGGACGCAGCCACCAAGGUGCUUUGUGCGCAUCCUCAUCUUUCCCUUUGCUGCUCGUCUCGUCACUGUGCUGUGCAAUGCAAUCAACUGUUUCGCUGCAGGUGGUGGGCUCGGGCUCGGCAGCGUCCGUUCGUGCUCCCGUCUCCAUGAUUGCCCUUGGUGGGCUUUUCUUCGCCACCAUGUUGCUGUUCCUGUCCAAGAUCUAGUAAUUAACAACCCAAUUAUAUGUAGAAGAAGAUGCUUGUACUACUGAAUGCUGCUGCUGCUGCCUUCAUCCAAACUAACUACUACUAGUCUUGAGUUCUUGGCAUGAACUAAUCUAGAGAUCUACUUCCAAUUCCUUUCACCUUCCUGUGAAUUCAAUUCGACAACAGCAUCGUGCUUCACUCUUCCGACUUUCCCCAGCUUUCACCUUUUCCGCAGCUUCGUGAAUAGUUCGACUCUCACAACCACAAAGCUACAAAACCAGCAUGUAGCGACUCUCCAACACAAAUUGAAACAGAACAAAAAUAAAAGGAGGCAAACAAGUCGUCAAACGCAAGCACAGCUCCCAUCACAAUUCACAAUAACUAACAGCCUGACCACGUUUCUGUUAUUUACAAAGCAUCACUAAUGUGCCGAGAGCCCCAGACUCGUCGAAUCCCUCCAGUUACCUUUACUUUAACACUUUGGCCCAGAACGAACGAUCAGGGAUACGAGAGCAAAGAAAGAGCAUGGCAUGAAGCACGAUGCAUACGUCUGUGCACCAGUACCACUAAACACAACUCCACUGCCCUACUAGGAUAUUAUGCACAGCUUCCUUCAUUUACAGGAUGGUACAGCAAGAGUUGGUUUUCUUCGCCUGCUUGUAGAACAUCUGCAUACAAGUUAAAGGGAAUGUCAGCACAAAACAAGCCGCGGACUGCAACACAUCAUAAACAUCUGCUUGUAGCCUACUGUUGCUGGACUCGCGCACUACUGCUAUCAUUUCUAGGAAACUCUCUAGGCAAACAGUGGAACAGCUAUGAGAUAAUGGUGAAAGCAAGGAUUAUUGUUACUAUAUAAAUGAUUCUACAAUGUUGUUCUCUUUUGCUGUUUUUGCAUCCCACCUUUUCUUUCUAAGACAUUAUUAGGGGCGUUAGACCUAUGUAUGGUCGAAUUUGGAAGGAAAAUUGGAUCAGUGACACCGAAAUGUGCAGGUUUUGGAGAAAUACCACCAAGGUGACUCGGUAAACUUUAAUACCGUCCCGGGGAUAGAUCUUUACCACUCUGUCCAAAUUAGGCAUUAAUGGUCGAACUGUCAACCAUUUUGCCCCAGCCCUCCUGCGUCUAGGCCAAAACAUGAUCCCUUUUCCCAUGGGGCAACCCAAGCAUAGCAUCGGUCCCAGGUGUCCUUUUCCACCACCGCGCUUAUGUCCCCCCUCAGAUCAAUCGUAGCAGCCUAGCAGGGGCACAAUGCCCUCUGUUCCUUCAGCCCAUCCUCCUCUGCCCCUUCUAGAUCUUCAUUUGCUGUCCUCUGGUUGGCCACACACCAUGGAACGGAGGUGCAGAGCUUUGGCUCCAGUUACCUGGUCCAUGGUGUUGAUCUGGAGCAGCGGUAGACUGGUUGGGAGCUCUGGUGCCUGGUGGGGUGCGGUAGCUUCGGAGAAACAGAGACAAUAGUGGUGAGGAGAGCAGACACAUAGUGGUGAGAGGACCAGGGCUGCGCGACCCCUGCCCCUCUGCUCAACUCGUUCUGACUAAACGGGCUUCCUCAAGUGAUAAAUAUCAACCCCAGACACCCAAACCCAGGGCAAAUAUGGCCCAAAUGUAGAAAGAACAAUAAAAAGCAUAACGAAAGUGUACUGAGUGGUAAAAAUCUUAACUAUGGCAUCUUUUGGUGGUAUCAACGUUUAAAGCCGUUUCAGUGGUGUUUUUCUAAAACUGGCACCUUGUGGCGUCAUAGAUCCAAUUUUUAGAAUUUCAAUGGCGAAGAUUCGUACAUAUUCAGAUGCUUAACUUAGACACUACACAACUUCAGAAAUUGUCUUUCAAUCAGUAUUUAACACAAGGGAUUGCAACUGGACAGAAGAAUCAUUUUGACCAAUUGCCCAUAGGCCAUAACUUGUUGUAUGUCUUUGGACAAAAUAACAUACAGCAAAAAUAUCCCUACCUGUGAAGAAAUACUUAGAUCAGAACUCUUCUCCACUAGGCUGUCCAACCUUUCACCUCUAUCAAGCAUGCUAUCAAUGGUUUUAUGCUGCAAAUAUCAAAAUCAAGAACAUAAAUUAAAAUUUGUGAAAGAAGAAAGUAGCCUUCCUCAGCAGUAAUUCAUGGCCUCUUCAUCAGCCAAACUAAUAGCAAAUAGCUCAAAAGGCAGGUGAGAAAGAGUAUCCAAGCACCUGUGCAGGGCACUUGGUCAAAGUGCCAGCAAACAUAAAGAAUCCAGAUAUUGCACUAUUCCACAAGAAUUUGUAGUCGACAGGGCACACUAGCUCCAAACAUUCUAUCAGCUACUAGUUUUCAACAGCAAGCAGGAGCAGAGUACAAGAAAACACUAGUGUUCUGAACACAUUAUAGCACCAGUUCGGCAAUGUAAUAACAUCCUGCCCCUUUGCUCCGAACCCAAGCAGGGUAAAAGAAAACUCCCCCUGACGGCCUGAUGUAAUUUUAGCCUUUCCUAACAUACGUGUGUAUGGUGCACAUGAGAACAACUCCAUUUAGUAUUUGAUAAGCUAGUUAGUCAUGUUCCCAAGAGUUCAAUUAACAUGAAGUUACUUACCAAAAUAAUCUUGGUUUCAUCCAAGUCCCUCUGAAUUUUCAACAGCUUGUCAGCUUCUGCAGGAUCCUGCAAAGAAAAGAAUUGGAAGACAAAUCAAUCAUUGGCAAAUCAAGCUUUAUUUAGUCAAGUGAACAAUGAUGUGCUUAACAAGGGAAAAAACAGUACAUGCAUAAAGUUCCAGAUUUGGACAAACACCUAAUUAAUAAGUAUGAGUACAACAAACUAUUUCUUUGCAUACAAGAAUCUGAUUCCUGAAUAAGCUAUAUUUUCAAGACAUCAGCAGAGCUUCAUGUUUUUCUCUUCCAAAAUUGUUGGUCUCCCUAGAUAACUACUCAAGUGCUGAUGGAAAAAAAAAUCACAUAUGUGUAUGGGUCCAAACAAACCAAACCUGGUAUUUGGUUAGGGAUGGAGGAGGAGCGUGUGCAUAUCUUAUCUUAUUUCCCUAUUUACUCUCGAAUAGAUAAUGGGUGUGUGAAAGUCAGCGUGCUCAGACAGAGCAGAGCUUCGUGUUUUUCUCUUCCAAAAUCUUCACUCCCCAUAGAUAACUAACUACUCAAGUGGUGAUGUAAAUAAAAUCAAAUGUGUAUGGGUCCAAACGACUCGUGUUUUUCUCUUCCAAAAUCUUCACUCCCCAUAGAUAACUAACUACUCAAGUGGUGAUGUCAAUAAAAUCAAAUGUGUAUGGGUCCAAACGACUUGUAACUACUCAAGUGGUGAUGUAAAUAAAAUCAAAUGUGUAUGGGUCCAAACGAACCAAACCUGGUAUUUGGUUAGGGCAUCAUCCAAGUAUUGCCAAGGUUGGGUCACAUCAGUUUUGGUUGUCCUCCAUGACUCUCCAAAAGUCUUCUGGUACUGUUCCAGCACCUGUAGAAGAUAUCGGACAUGGAUAACCUUUGUGAGACUGAUGCAUCAUCUUACUCAUAUGACAAUAACAGGAGAGGUCAUGCACUAUCAGUUUACUAUCAUCACUGCAACAAAAAUACAGCACGAAGAUGUGACAUUAUCAGUUUAUUAUCUGUAGUUUCUGUAUUAGGCUUUAUCUUUUGCUUCAUGUUAAACUGGUAUCCCCAGUACUGUAUGAUACGUUGCUUUAUUAAAAGCUGAGGUAAAAGUAAAACUCAUUUUAAUAAACAAAGAUGUGACAUUAUAUAACAAUCAAAAGUAUGAUGACAACAGUACAUGGUUGGGAAGUAAGGUAGACAUAUCAGAAAGGAAAGCCAAUUGGCAGCUAUGUGGUUAUUAGCUUCAGAAAUAUAGAUGUUGAGGCCUAGCUGAUCAGGGAUUAAAUUGUCAGAAAAAAUUGCAAGCAAUCUAUGUGCAUGGCCCACCAGAUUAGCAGGCAAAUAAAGCAGAGCACAAGACCAGCGUCACUAGAAUGAGUUGAAAGUAACCGCCGCGUAACAGGGUAGUUGACAGAGAUAGGAUCAGGAGUAGCGUACGAUGUUGAGGAGGGAGAAGGCGCUCCUGACGGGAUAGUGGGCGUCGGUGAAGGCGAUGGCGCAAAGGCCAUCCUUGUUGUAGCAAUGCACCGUGUACUCUGCAGAGGAGGGAGGGUCAGCAACAAUGGAAGUCGGAUGAGCCCAGUGGAAGGCUUGGUAGAAGAAGGGAAGGGGAAGGAAGAAAACGAUGAGGAGACAGGCGUCGUGGGGCGUGAGUCGUCGUCACGUGCCUUCGUGCUGGACGUUCUGGCGGCUGCCGGCGGGGGUGCGGAGGGCGACGGUGCGGGCGACGAAGAGGAUGAACUCGCGGGCGGCGGCGCGCUGGAAGUAGCCGAAGUGGCUGACGUCCGACGCGUUGGCCAGCACCACAGCCUGCUGCUCCCCGCCGCCGGAGGCGGAGGAAUCGCCAGGGGAUUUGAGCACCAGCAACGCCGUGAUCUUCAUCGCGGGUUCCGGCCGCGGGGGCGGGGGCGGGGGCGGCGGAGGAAGAGGAAGAGGAAGGGAGGCGAAUUGGGUGCCGGCUGCUAGGCCACGGGCGGCGGUGGCGUGCGGGGGAGUAGCGAAUUCUCAAGGGAACACGGUGCGGUGCGAAGUUGCGAACACGAUACGAUCGAUGCGAUGCGAUGCGUUUUGACGUGGCUUCCUUUGUGGGGAAGGAAAGGAAGAAGCCGACAGGGGGGCCCACGUCAAAACGCCAGGAGUUGCCGACGUGUUAAGAAGGUUUGAUCAUCAUCUGGAAACUUUAUACAAUCGCUUAACUUAAUUAUUUCUUGGGUUAAUUUUCAUUAAAACUUUUGCGAUGCAAAGAAACGCAACUAGGGACGUAUUCUUCUUCUUCUUCUUUCUUUCUCUGCGUUUCUUCUUCAGCCCUCCUCUCCUCUCCAUGGCCGACUCCGCGCCUCUGUGGUCUGUGCUUUUUUCACGCCCACGUAUCAUUCCAAUUAAUCCGUAAUCUUUGUAAUUCUAUAGUUACAACUGCACUAAACAUGUUCUAUAUUUUCUCAUGUUAGAUUAGAUUCAACAACACCAGUUUCAACAAGCUGAAGACAACAACCACCAAGGAAACAGAACGAUGUUUUUUAAUAAAAAAAAAAGAAGAAAAAUAAAAAACAUAAUUAUCUCCCUAUAAAUAACUUAUAUGAGUAUCAGCAAUAACAAUUUACUACUGAUGGAGCCAAGCAUAUAAGGCCCGUUGGCACCAGUAAAGUUUAACUCCCGUCACAUUGAAUAUUUGGACACAUGCAUAGAAUACUAAAUAUAGACUAUUAUGAAACUAAAAACAUAGCUACAGAGUAACUUGCGAGAUGAAUCUUUUAAGCCUAAUUAGUUCAUGAUUACCAAAUAAGACGAAAAUGCUACAGUACCGCCCAUAAUCAAACACUCCCUAAGGCCUUGUUUAGUUCACUCCAAAAACCAAAAACUUUUCAAGAUUUUCCAUCACAUCGCAUCUUGCGGCACAUGCAUGGAUCAUUAAAUAUAAAUGAAAACAAAAACUAAUUGCACAGUUUGCCUGUGAAUCGCGAGACGAAUAUUUUAAGCCUAGUUACUCCAUAAUUGGACAAUGUUUAUCAAAUAAAAACGAAAGUGCUACAAUGUCAAAAUCCAAAUACUUUUCAGAUUGGCCUAAGUUUCAGCAAAAAUAACAAGGUAGUAGGACAAUAAUAUAUACCUGGAGCAUGCAAGGGCACACCCUCACGUCGCCGCCUCUAGAGCAUUUCUACUCUGUCCCCACCUCGGCAUUGCCUAAGUAGUGAUCACUUGGCUAACAUCUUGUUACCUAAUUAAUUAACACAUAUAGUUUGGUAAAUAAUCAGCUUAGUUCUAGAUAGUGAGAAUUUAUAGUGUUUAGCAAAAAGCCACCAAUCCAUUUGUCUUCAUAGCUACAUUUGACAUACACACCUUAGGUUUUGUUUGGCUGCACUUCAAUCCACCCCAAUACAUAUGGAUUGGAGUGGUUCGACUGCAGUCAAACAAGACACUAGGAUAAAUACCAAGAGUGCCAUAUCAUGUGAAUAUAUGAAGCAGUAAUCCACCAAAGCCAUACUUUAUGUAAACAGGAAUCACGAGUUUUUUUUGGUUGAAUUAUUGUUAGUUAAAAUGUUGAGUGGAAAAUAGAAGUAGAAAAUGGGAUUCUCUAAUAAAUGUUUGUUUUUUGAUUUGUUGAGAUUGAUAAAAUCAAUAUAUAGUAAUAAAUAAUAUCACAUCUAAAAGAAAUUUUAGUGAUAAAUAUCACAUUCAACUGAUUUGAUAUGAUGUAUAAUAUUUAAAUCAGAUUUGUCCCCCAUGAACUAGCUCUCAAAUACCAGAAUUUAUUAUUUGGUUGACCUUGUUGUUAUAUGAUAUCCAGAUAUCUAUUGGAUAGUAUUAGCGAUAGAAGAUAUAUCAGUCUUAAUUAUCAAAACAGCUAGGAUAGAUAGAGACACACUACUCAAUCAAAGAUUUAAGAAGGAGCUGGAGAUUUUACACUUGUACUACAUGUAUUUCUCUCUCUCUAUAUAAGCAUAUAUAGAGAAGAGAAAGGAAGAACAGCAGAGACGGCAUUGCUCCAUAUACUAGCUAGUGUUGUUCCUCUCCUAGGUAUAUAAUAAUAUAAUGGCACUCGUCAAGACGAGCAGCAUAACAAGGCCGGGCGUGCGUGUGUGUGGUGCCGUGAUUGCUGCUGUCGUUGUUGUGAGCAUGGUGCUGCCUGCUUGUUCCCUGUCCAACGACCUCGAAGAAGAAGAAGAAGAAGAAAUUGCUUGGUUGCAUGCAGCAGAUGAGGAAUUAGACGAGACGAUUUGCAACCCGGUGGUGGUGAAUAAUGGGCAGUGCGAUAUUGUGCGGUGCUCCAUAGAAUGCAUGCAGGAGGCCAGGAAGCAUCCUCGUACUUCGUGCGUGCAUGCCUCCUGCGACAGGCGUGUCCGUCCUCAGGAGUGCUGCUGGACUUUUCGCCACCGCCGUCACGUCGUCGUCGUUGGAGCGCAUCCGUGACUGCUCUAAUUCGUUAUUAUUACUUCAUGUAAUAAUUAAUUAAUGAAUCUCGCAAAAAAAAUAAUAAUUAAUUAUGAUCCGAUCAAUACAAAUUCAAUUCCAAUCCAAUCCAAUAAUAAUAAUAAUAAUAUUAAUAUUAUGGGUUGUGUUGUGCUCGCCUAGUACGUGUUGGUGUUUCACUCGGAAGCGGGCCGGGCCGGGAGCCCAGGACUCGUCGAUCGGGCGUUGGGGCGUGUUUGUUCGUCACCCACUGGGCCAGGAGCCCGGGUCUACCCCGGUACAGCCCAGGGCCUUAUUCCUCCGCUCCGGCCGGCGAGUCCCCGGAUGCGAUGUAUUGGAGCCGUUGGGGCAGGCGACGUGGCACGGGCCCAGUCCAAUCCUAUACCACAGCUAGCGCUAGCAUAUAUUCUCGGACCUUUCGCUAUUUUACCUGUGAGUUCAUCUGUCAUACAGGUUUAGAGUUAAGAUUUUUAGAUUAUAUAUACGAAGCGUAGGUACAAUUUAGAUGCUCAACUCAAAACUCGUUAGUUUGCUUAAUUUGUGACUACCUCGGCUUACCUUGUUAUAAAAAACGAGCCGAGCCAAACUAAAAUUUUAGAUCGUUAGCUACAACAAGUUAACUCGCAAGCCAAGCGAGUCAUAGUUUUAGAAAAAAAAAACUAUCAUAUUUUAUAUUAGUUUUGUAUUACCUCAUGUUUUGCAACUUAUAUGUUAGGUCAUAUAAAUAUUUAGAAAAAAUUUACAUAACUCCUCAAAUUUAGGGUUAUAUUUUAUCGCUCAAACUAUAAAACCGGAUAUUCUAUACUCUGACCUUUCAAAGCUGGUCAAAUAAUGUGCUACAUCGCCUUGGCACGAGAGUUGCCACUUGCGCACGAACGCCUCAUCGCGCGGCCGCUCGAACACCACCAUAAUGCUCAGCGGUUCAGGCACUACGGUUAGCAGCUUAUCAGCCAAAUCUGCUAGACAUUGUUAUCAGCCAAACGAACAAGGCGAAUAUAAAUAAAAAGCCAAAAGACAAGAAAAAUUGCACGAGGUAACGGUAUACGAUGAGAAAAAACUUUAAAAAGUGUAUCUUGUCAUGCAGUAACUGUAUACGAUGAGAAAAUUCUUUAAAAGUGUAUGGCCUUGUUUAGUUCCGAAAAGUGAAAAGUUUUCGGCACUGUAACAUUUUCGUUUGUUUUUGAUAAAUAUUAUCCAAUCAUGGAUUAACUAGGAUCAAAAGAUUCGUCUCGUGAUUUACAGCUAAACUGUGUAAUUAGUUUUUGUUUUCGUCUAUAUUUAAUAUUUCAUGCAUGUGCCACAAGAUUCGAUGUGACGGAGAAUCUUGAAAACUUUUAUCUUGUCAUUACUAAAAAAAUGGUUUACCGGAACUCCAUCGUUUCCGUUUCCGGUUCGGGCAUGGAUUUCCGGACUUGGUUCACAGAGCGAAGUCACCGACCAGAGCGAGUGGCGGCACUGUAGCAUGGGAUCUGAACCGCCCAUCUCAAAACACACAGUCGAAAAUAAUCCAAAGUCGGGCAUGCAUCGCUGCUGCGCGCGCCGAUCUCGGCAUUUCUUGGUGGGGUGGCGACGACUCCCCCUGGGCGAUCACCGCUUUACUCCAGCCAGGUGCCCAGGUCGUCGAGGGGCCCUUCGCCGGCGACGGGCACCCACUUGGUAUGCACACCCCUUCUUUCCCCUUCCUUCUGCUGUGCGAAAUCGACUCAAACCCUAAGGUUUGUUUGGCGAUUUUGUUUCCGAUCUGAUCAAAUUACAAGUGUUUAUAUACAUGUAUUAUGCUGUGCGUGCCUACUGACUUCGAUUUUUUCUUUUUGCAAAGAUUAUGGAGAAGAUUGGGUUGCCUUCGAUGCUGUCCGUGCGAGGCGCCACCUGGGAGGUGGAUGCACCCCACUGCCAGGGCUGUUCUGUUCAGUUUACCUUUUUUACUAGGAAGGUAAAUCAAAUUCGCCUUGCAGCGAUGGCUCACCUCCUGCUUUUUUUUCCUGCUUCGUUUGUGAAAAGUGUAGUUUAGUCCUCCUUCGUAGUCGCUUAAAACUAUCAUGCUUGAUGCAACUAUUUGUUUCAUGUGAUUCCUAAUGUUUUGGUUCAGUUACUUGUGCUCCUUGUUUACUUUACAUGCUCCACAGCCAGCGAAACUCACCUGCAAAGCAAAUUGAUAAAUGAACUUAUUUAUUAAUAAAACCAUCUGCUGGCUGUGGAAGAUACUGACCUUGAUGUUUUCUCGGUCUCAUGUCUCAUCACAGAUGAUAUUGUCGCCCUAGUUCUAGUUUUUAUCAUGACCUUACCUCUCUAGAGUUAAUUCGCAACUGACACUCAUGAAUCCCUUUGGCCGUGCUUGCCAUGAAAAUUGUUUGCCGCUGCUCAUGGCUAGAUCACAGUUUGACCGGAGCUCAAUUUAUUUUUGCUUCAAACCUUGCUGUGUGGGGGGAUCAAGAUAUGUUCUCCAUUGUUUUUCCUUUAGUCAUUUAUUGCUGGUAAAUAUGGUAUUACGGUCUAUCAUGAAGUUAUGAAACUCAAAUCUACUGUUUAGAAAUAUCUCACUUGCUUGCUUGAGUACUUAAUAUGCUUGCGUUCACCAUUUCACGGUGUUUAUGAACAUGCCAUUGGCCAUUCAGUUAAACUGUGAACUCUGUUGUAACCUUAUGGUCUUAUAAGGGGCUGUGUUAACUUUUGGAUAAAUUGAUAUAGCACCAUUGCCGAAGAUGUGGGGGCGUGUUCUGCAACAGCUGCACCCAGCAAAGGAUGGUUUUACGUGGACACCCUGAUUCACCUGUUAGAAUCUGUGAUCCUUGCAAAAAGCUUGAGGAAGCAGCACGCUGCGAAUUGAGAUAUGGACACAAAAAUAUAGCUGCGAGAUCUGAUAUGUGUUUUAGUGAAGAACUAUGAUUUGGUUGAUGCUUGAUACUGCUGUGAAUAUUGAAUUAGUGUAUUUAUGGAAAUCGUAAUAAACUGAUAAAAGUCAAGGCCUUGUUGAUAAAAAAAAAAUCAGACUAUCAGCGUGGAUUCUAUUGAAGAUGCAAUUUAUGUAUUAAUUUGGCUAUCAUCAUCAUAUAGAGCACAUUUGAUCAUGGGGUGGUCGUGUACAAAGUUCGGGCUGGUUCAUACUAUUUCAGAUUCUUUUUAAAAACAUUUAACUAUGUUUUAUGGGAGCUAUAUCUAUAUGCUCAGAAAUAGGGAUACAUUAUUGGCACUAUACAUCUAUACCCUAAUGAAUAAUAAUGGUGCUUGCAGCUUGUCACUAAUGAAGAAUUAAACAUUUCUGGCAAUAUCUUGCUCUUUCUCAGAAAUUAUUUUAUUCUAUGGUUUAUCCUUUGUUAGAAGCAAGUGCCUAACAGCCUAAUUGGUUGCAAUGAAAUAUUUUUGGUCUUCGAUAGAUUCUUCGUAGUUCUGUUUUGUAUGCAGUAUUCUGUAUCACUGUAUUGCACAUACAAAUUUGUCAAAAUAGGAUCUAUGGGAGCUAAAAAUCUUGUGGAAUUAUGUGCGGAAGAUCUAACUAAAAAACCCUUUCAUUCUGUUUCCACAGCUACCACAAAAGCAACCACAAAACCAGAAGAUGAAAUUCUAAGUGAAAUUCUUGGAGGUGAUGGAGUGCAGAUCCAGGUUUCUAGCAAGGAAUCUCUGAAUUCUGAGUUUUCUGGGAUACGUGCAAUCAGUGCCAGUUCCUCCGGAUCCAGUUCGAGAAGAACUACUGCUAAUUUGAAUAUGGACACAGAUGGAGAUGAGAAGCUUUCUGCUGAAGCACAUGAUUUUGAUAUCAACAACGCUGCAGCUGGUUUUACCCCAGAGGAGUUGCGCCAGCAAGCUGUAGAAGAGAAGAAAAGGUACAAAACUUUGAAAUCAGAAGGUAAACCGGAUGAAGCACUGCGGGUUUUUAAGCAUGGUAAAGAACUUGAGAGGCAAGCUGCAGCGCUUGAAUUAGAAUUGAGAAAGAGCCGGAGAAUGGCUACAAAAGCUCCUAAUGUAGCUGCUGCACUUAGUACCCCAACGACUGAUAGUUUUGAUGAGCCUGAAACAAAAAGGUAUUUAGCUGGGAAAAGGGUCAAGAAAGAAAAGAAUGAUCUUGCCUCUGAGCUCAGAGACCUAGGCUGGUCAGAUGCAGACCUUCGUGAUGAAACGAAGGCAGCCCCUAUGAGUGUGGAAGGAGAGCUGUCACAGCUUCUUAGAGAGGUGGCCCCUAAAUCAUCGGAGGGCAAGAAAACAGGUGGUAUCAAUAAAUCUCAGGUUAAUGCUCUGAAGAGGCAAGCCUUAUUGCUGAAGCGGGAAGGUAGACUUGCUGAAGCAAAAGAAGAGCUGAAGAAGGCUAAAAUCUUGGAAAAACAACUAGAGGAACAGGAGAUUCUGGGUGAAACAGAAGACUCGGAUGAUGAUUUGGCUGCCAUUAUUCAGAACAUGGAUGAUGAUAAGCAUGAUGGCAUAUGGAUGGAUGAUCCAAACAUCCCUGCUUUUAACUUUGAACAAAUUCUCGGUGCCUCUAAUGAUCUUGCCAUUGAUGGGCACUUUGAUGUUACGGAUGAUGACAUGAACGACCCAGAUAUGGCUGCUGCCCUAAAAUCAUUUGGCUGGAGUGAGGAGGAUGACAAACAAUUGGAACAUCAUGAGCCUGUUUCUUCUUCAAAUCAAGAUGUGCUAAAGGAGCAAAUGCUUGCUCUUAAAAAAGAAGCUGUUGCAAACAGAAGGUCUGGUAAUGUUGCAGAAGCCAUGACCUUGCUUAAGAAGGCAAAACUACUUGAGAAGGAUAUGGAAACUGAAGAGCCAGAAUCAAAGGUUGCUUCUCCAGAGGGGCAGAAAACUAUGCUUGCAGAAGAUAUCACUUUUGCAGGGACGACUGCACGACCUGUAUUGGCACAUCGAAGUAAGCUAGCAAUUCAGAGAGAACUGUUGGCUCUGAAGAAGAAGGCACUAGCUUUGAGGAGGGAAGGGAAGGUGGAUGAGUCGGAGGAAGAGCUGAAGAAAGGUAGCGUUCUAGAAAAACAGCUUGAAGAAUUUGAGAAUGCUUCCAAACCUGUAGCAAAGGAAACCAGGAGCUUUGCAUCUAAUCCCCCGUACAAGGUUGAACCCCCAAGUCUCAAUCUUGCUGAUGAUGGAUAUGAAUCUGAGGUUACGGACAACGACAUGCAAGAUCCAGCAUUGUUAUCCAUGCUGAAAAAUAUGGGGUGGGAAGAUGUUGAUACUGAUUCUGCAAAAAGAAAUGACAAACCAUUGGUUUCUUCACAUUUAGUUAUCCAGAAAUCAUCAAAAGCUAAGGUUCAGCUUCAGAAGGAAUUGCUUGGUAUAAAAAGAAAGGCUCUUGCACUCAGACGGGAAGGGAAAAACAUAGAAGCUGAGGAGGAACUGGACAAGGCUAAGGUCUUGGAGCAGCAACUUGCAGCGAUCGAAGAAUCAAAUAGCUCGACUGCUAGUCAAGGUGUUACUAAUGCUGGACAUCAGAUUAUUGAAAAUAAAUUAGAUGUUCAGCAUGUCUCUACUAUUGAUGCAACUGUACCCACAUCUUCAGUAACAAAAACAAUGAAAUGGGACGAUAUGUUGCAGGCACAUGGAUCUGAACCUGGUAUAUCUGUGGAUACUCUGGGUGAUUCUCCAAGCAAACUGCAGGUUGAGACAACUGGUUCUAAACAAAUUCAUGUGGCAAAAGAAAGUAGUGAUGGAGCAUCGUCAGCCUUGUCACGUCCAUCUUAUACUAAUUCUCUGGGAUCUGAAAAAGGGUCACAUUCACCUUCUGAACUACGUGUUCGUAAAGAGCCUCACAAAACACAUGGAGAUGAUAUUCUUACAGAUGAGAUCUUAUUUCAUAAGAGAAAAGCAGUUGCCUUCAAGAGAGAAGGGAAGAUGGCAGAAGCUAGAGAAGAACUGAAACUGGCAAGACUCUUAGAAAAACGCCUUGAAGGUGCUCAACAAGACAACAUGGAUGGUGAUGAUAACUUCAUUGCUCCUGCUGGGGGACAGAGCAUCGUGGCCCAACAACGUGCUAGUUCUAGCAUCCAAACUGAUGGUGUGGCUUCUGCCCCUCCUGCACAGGCGAGCAAGUCGACACAACCUCAGAAAGUAAUGUCCAGCCGAGACCGUCUUAAAAUUCAACGUGAAUCCCUAGCUCACAAGCGCAAUGCCCUCAAGUUGCGGAGAGAAGGAAAGAUUGCAGAAGCAGAUGCAGCAUUUGAACUGGCCAAGGCGCUAGAGAGCCAAUUGGAAGAGUCAGACAACCAAGGUUCAAGCUCCGGAGUCAAGUCAGGUGAACCAAAUGACGCGAUGGUGGAGGAUCUUCUUGAUCCUCAAAUCAUGUCCGCCCUAAAAUCCAUAGGUUGGAGCGACAUGGAUUUAUCCAUGCAAUCUUCUAGUACACAACCUCCUAAGCCCCCGCAGACUUCAAAAGGUCAGCCUACGCAGAAAGUGGAAGUGAAGCCAGCCAUUACAGUGGCCAGCAAGCCUCAGAACGAGAGAAGUCAGCUUGAAGAACAGAUCAAGGUGGAGAAACAGAAGGCACUCAACUUAAAGCGGGAAAGGAAGCAGACUGAGGCCUUGGAGGCCCUUCGCUCAGCAAAGCGACUGGAGAAGAAGUUGUCCUCACUUAGCUAACUACUACCAGAUUGUUUGUCUUCGAUGUGACAAACUAACAUUACAAUUGAAAACCCACUGAAUGUGGCCGUGAUAUAUGUAGAAUCAUAGAUAAUAUAAACUUCAAUUCAAGGCAUUUGUAUUUUGAUUGGUCCUUGGCAGUUUGUGUGAUCCUUUUGGACUCCACUAGUAACUGGUUUGUGAAUCACAAUCAAGCAGCGAUAUGGGCUUACAUAGUUGCAUUUGCAUCUAAAGUGGGCAGAACUUAUGCGUGUCAUGAAGAGACUGAGGUUUGAUGCAGAGUCAAUGUUGUGGUUUAGGGCACAUUGAGCCAAAUGUACAUAGAUUUUGCGUACAUUUACAAAACUUUGAGGCAGCAUUUGCAUUUCAUUGCUGAAGCAUAUUCUUGCUUAUCUGUGCCCUUGAAAUCUGACCCUGCAGAAAGUGUUAUGUCCUGGCCUUCUGAAAGCAACUGUACUUUCGACCCAUGUCAACUUGCUGUACCUCUUGAGGCAUCAGAGGAUACAUGCCAACCACCUAAUUAUUUCGCCAAUAUGCCAAUUCUCAUUGCAGUGGCUGGUGGCUCAAAUAGUAGUUGCUGUUGGUGGUAAGACAUUCAAAUUUAUGUACUCAUACUCACUAGUACAAUUGUGUUUCUUACAUGCAAAGUUGAUGGAGUGAGACGUUUCUAGUCACUAAUAAUUUUUCCUCUGUGAUUUUUCACAUGCAGGAUUGCUAGCAGCUAGCAUGCCAAAGGAGGAAUUAAGUGACUGAAUAAUCAACCUGGCCAGAUCCAUACAGCACGCAUCAAUAGGGAGAACUUAUGUUGUUGUUGUUGACCCAAUGAAGCAGCAGUUGGUCGCAAACCUGAGAAAUGGGAAGAAUUGCAUGAAGAGUCAAGAUCUUGUUUAAGGCCUAGUGGAGUUCAGGACAACUCUGGAGGAGAUUGUUUUGAGGAAAAGAAAGCUGCACAAGGAUUAGGUUCUUUUCUCCCUGACAACCUCCAUUAAUGUUUACCUCUGCUGUUCUUCUGAGGGUGUGUGUGUGUUGUUAUUCUCUUCUUUCUAUGAAUGAUACGCAGCUGUGUGUUUGAGGAACUUUAAAAAGACUCUGUUUAUGUUUUACCAGCGCCAUAAAAAUUGGUCAGUCAGGCUACAUAAUAAACCAUUAAGUGUAGUUGACAGAUGGAGUACCAGUGCUGUUGCCCUCAUUAUGGCAUUAUGGCUUCAGGCAUUAGCUAAGUAGUGGAUAGCGGUAUAUUAGAACUUCUGAAAAUGACUGAAAUGUUUGGUGUUGUUUCACCUAGGUGUGUUUGUUGCUUCUGGGAGAGGAGGGGGGGGGGGGGGGGGGAGGAGGAGGAGAGGAGAGAACUUCUGUUUGAGUUGCGUCAACGAACUAAGUUAUGUGAUUUGUUGAGGUUGCAUUAGUUUAUACUGUUGCUUAAUGUUUUUUUUCCAGAAACAAAUAUGUUGUUGUUCCAAAUUAAGUAUACUAGUUUUUAGGUCCAACCACGUGCAAUUUGGAUGCACAAAUUGUCUUAAUGGAUAGCUGAUACUUGAGGUAGCUGCUUACUGAAGAUGCAUACUUUAGACUUUUAUAAUUGUCUGUCGUUUGUGUGCUUAGUAAGUCAGCUUUGGAGAUUUGCAUGUAGGACGUUGCUUGAAGCAAAUUCUGUUGUGAACUGGCAGUAGUGGACUUCAUAGCAGCCGACUGAAAUGACUGUAUGCUAGUGGUUAGCAUGCAUAAGAUGGAUUUAAUUGUGUUUCAAAUUAAACCUGUGGCUGCAGUGAACAAACUUAUGUAAUUUCGAAUUUCUACUUAUUGCAUUGGUGUAUAGUGGCGCUUAAAUUUGCGCUGCAUAAGAAUAUUUUUUGUUUCAAGCUUCAGUCACUUGCAGUGGCAGGCACAAACCGUUGAUCCGCUGUUGCUUAUUAGUUGAUAUACGGUGUUACUUAUGAAGUGACCUGAGAAUUUCCUCACUUGCUAUUUGGCUUUCCGCCAGGUGCAUGCAUCGCUGAUUCGCUGCAGAAGUUGGGGGAAUACACCGAGAAGCAAUGAGGCAGCACACAGGUUGUGGAGCUGUCCAUGGAGACGGGAGAGGAUUCCGGCUCCACCAAGGCCUGUCAUUCUGUCACGGCGUCACGCCAUAGCUGACUGCUAGGGAUGAAAACGGAUCGGAUACGGACGGAUAUCACCGAUAUCAUAUUUGUUUUCACAUUUCUGGUCGGAUUCGGAUUCGAAUACGGAUAAUAUCAAUUAUGUCGGAUAAGUUAUGAUUGGAUGUCGACAUCGUAAAUAUACGAUUUAAGUAUUCGGAUACGGAUACGGUAUCGGAUGUUAAACAUUCGGACUCGAAUACGGACAGAUCUGAACCUCUCUAAACGAAUUCGGUCUCGAAUACGGUCGGAAAAUAUCCGUACCGUUUUCAUCCCUACUGAGCGAGUGGGAGCCCGGCGAGUAAGGGGUGGUUGGCCUGGUGGGCUGUUGUGGAGUAUAUAUAUAACAAAUAAAUAUAUAAAUAAAUGUCGAUGGUGCUGUUCGCCUAUCUUUGCAUGUAUCUUUGCACAAUAGCUGGAGAUCUGCAUCUGAGGGAAAGUUGAAGCAAAUUUUGCUGUGAACUAGUAGCAGGGUUUAUAUCAACUGUCUGAAUGUUAUUGCCAAGCAUCAUAUCAUACAAAUAUAAUUUGUCUUUCAAACUUGUGGUUGAGUUACCUCAAUGAACUAAGUUAUGUGAUUUGUUGAGGUUGUAUUAGUUUAUACUGGUUUCUGAGAUAAUAUACCUGCCUACCGAUUUCUGUAACAUCAAUCAAUUCAUAUGUUUGCACUCUGCACUGCAGUCAUGAAGAAAAUGAGAACUGAAAUAGUGAAUUCUGGAAAAGAGAAAGGGAAUGAAGAAAAUGAAAAGUGAAUGGAAUGAAAGAUGACGAUCAUGUCCCGGCCCAUCGUAAUUUCCUUGUCCUGUUUCAGCGGCUCGGACGUUUCUGCCAAAUGCCAACGUGUCCGGCCGCGCUUGGCGUCGUCACCAACAACACAACAGGACGGACUCCUCCAUUGAUGUCCCGUGAAGCUCGCACGUCCCCACACCCAUGUCCACCUCUCCUCUCCUCUCCUCUCCUCUCCACUCCCAUAUAUAGACUCCACCACACGCACGUCUCAUUGCAAGGACGACAUUCCCCAAAGCCAGCACUCACAAAGAGCAAAAAAAAAAAAAAAAUCACCACCCUGCAACUGCAAUAAUGGCCCAGACUAGCAUGAGGAUGGUGGCGCUGGCCCUGGUGGCCCUCCUGGUGGUGGCGGCGGCGUCGGUGCCCGCCGCCACCGCGUACGGCUGCUACGACGACUGCUACGAGCGCUGCGCCAACGGGAAGGACGACCCCGCCUGCACCAAGAUGUGCAACCAGGCGUGCGGCACCACGGAACAGGGCAAGCCCGCUGCUGCCGCCGGCGGCUUCCCGGCUUGAUCUCCCACGCAUUAUUUCAUCGGUUCAUCAGCUCCAUAAUAUAUAUGUAGUAUAAUCCCUGCUCCGUCAGCCCACAUUUGAUUUUAUCUUCCUCCUUUGAUUUCUCGACCCCAUUGAUUUUUUCUUCCCCCUCUUCUUCUUCUACUAUACUAUCAGUUUAUUAUUCUUGUGUUCAUGUCUCUGAUAUAUGAUUCGUUUUGUAAUUCCUGCAAUUUGCAAGUGAAAUGGCCUCUAUGAUUCAAGUUUCUUUUUAAAUGAUUAUUAUUGUGCCUCCGGUUUCAGUUUUGCUGUAUGUUUAACAGUAUGAACACAUCUCAAUCUGUUAGUACUACUACAUUCUGUCAAUCUCUGAUGCGAUGCGAUGGGAUGUCCCCAAUGGAAUGCAAUGCAAGAAACUAGCUAGCUAUAGCUACGUGAUGCCGCGCGCGCAUCCCCAUCCGGCCAUCCCGACGGGAAUGGGGGAUCAGGAGGAGGCCGGCGGCGGCGGCGGGAAGGGCACCUCCAGGAGCCCUUCCAGCAUCAGGAUGACGCUCCUCAUGGCGGGCCUCGCCUGUGGCUCCGCCUGCGCGCACCACACCGCCACCUUCACCGCCCGCUCCACCUCCGCGGCGUCCACGACCUCGUCGCCGCCCACCACCCGCCACACCUCGCCGCGCACCAGCCACUCGUGCGCGCACUCCAUGAGCGUCCGCUCCUCGCCGGCCUCCUCCAGCUCCAUGCUCCGGCGGCACGUGACGAUCUCCAGCAGCACCACGCCGUAGCUGUACACGUCCGCCUUCACCGUCACCGGCCCGGUGCCGCGGUACCACUCGGGGGCCAGGUACCCGCGCGUGCCGCGGACACCCGUGAACGUCCGCGUCUGGUCCGGGAGCAGCAGCUUGGCCAGCCCGAAGUCGGCGAUCUUCGCCGUCCCCGACGCGUCCAUCAGGAUGUUCUGCGGCUUCACGUCGCAGUGGAUCACCCGGCUGUCCAGCUCGUCGUGGAGGUAGUGCAGCCCGCGCGCGACGUCCAGCGCGAUGCCCAUCCGCUCGCCCCACGCCGGCGGUCCGCCGCUGCUGUUCUUGAACAGACGCUCCGCCAGCGACCCGUUGCUCAUGUACUCGUACACCAGCAGCCGGUGGGCGCCCUCGUGGCAGAACCCCAGCAGCCGGACCAGGUUCCGGUGGCUCGUCCGCCCGAUGGCGCGCACCUCCCGCUGGAACUCCACCUCCCCAUCCUCCACCAUCUUCUCCAGCCGCUUCACGGCGAUCGCCUUCUCGCCGCCGUUGUGCGGCAGCGUGCCCCGGAACACCGUGCCGAACGCGCCGCGGCCCAGCGGCUCGCGGAAGCUCCACGUCGCGUGCUCUAGCUCCUGGUAGCUGUACGACCUCAGGGGUGCCUCCUCGUCCAGGGCCGCGUCCGGCUCCGCGGUCGUCCUCCGGUUCGUCAGGACCAGCCGCGCCGCCGCCACGAGCGCGGCUAGCGACACGAACGUCAGGACCCCGAUGCAGACCAGCGCGAUGGUGGCCGAGCGCCCGACGCCGCGGCCCCCGCCGCCGCCGAACGAUGGGCUUCCCGCGGCGUUCUUGACGAACAGAGUGUACCCGCCGCCCGCGCGGCCGUAUCGGAGCGGGAGCUGCUGCUUGGUGCAGGUGCCGUCGUUGCUGUUGAGCAGAACGGCGGCGCAGAGGCAGUCGGCCACGCACGCAGCCUGGCAGUCGGCGGCGCUCGUGCCGGCGCCCAGCACCCCGUACGGUGUGUCCGCCCACGACAUGUUCUGCAUCGGGACCAUGCUAGCAGUAGCAGCAGAACCAGCCGUGGCGCAGUCACCAGCGCUUGUGGUCUCGGUGCACCCGAGCGGCGCGUUGGCGGCGUCGAUGAAGCUGAACCCCGGCGGGCACCGGCAGUCGGGUUGCGCGUCGCCGCCGAGGACGCAGUAGCUGUUGAGCCCGCACGCUCCCUUCACGUGGCACCGGUCGUCCGGCCCGAUCCACUGGACACCGGUCGUCCACGCGCCUCCCGACGCGACGGCGUGGCGGUACAGGCGGAGGACCCCGUCGGGGUCGAGCGUCACCCGGUACAAGACCUGUGUCUCGCCGGGAGACCGCGGCGCCCCGGCCCGCGUCAGGUUCUUGGUGUAGUUGCCGUUGUUGCCGGUGACGUAGAGCACACCGGUGGCGUCGAGGCGCAGGGUGAGCGGGAAGCCGAUCUGGAACGUGCCGGUGGCCCAGUACGCGGCGUCGGCGGUGUUCUCCGUCUGGACCGGGUACAGGACGAGGUUGCCGUCGUUGAGCUGGUUGGUGAGGCGGUACCUCCCCGUGGCUCUGUCGGUGAGCGAGACGCUGGAGAAGAGCUGCGCGCCGGGGACGAGGUCCUGGCCCGGGAGCAUGGUAUCGGUGGGCGCGGCGGGGGCGGCGAAGGUGGACCAGACCACGGUGCCGUUGGCGUCGUAGAGCACGAAGCUGCCGUCGUCGCGCAUGGCGGCGGCGGCGGCCGGCCGGGGUGGCACCGCGAGGGUCCUGUCUUGCCCGUCGGCGGGGCCCGUCCAGACCAGGCGGCCGUCGUAGGUGAGCCAGAGCGCUCCGCCCGUGGACGGCGUGUCGUUGCGGUUGGCCGUCCACGUGACGGUGAUGUUGGGGGAGGUGGCGAGCCAGACGCCCACGGCGAGGCCCCCGUCCGUGCCGUAGAAGCCGAACGCGAAGCGGCCCGACGGGGACGGCCAGGCGGCGCCCGCGGCCGCCUGCAGCGAGGUCCCCGAGGUGAUUUUGGUGGCCAGCUGCUGCGCCUGCGCGGCGGCACCUGGCACGACGGGCACGGAAAGAAGCGUGGCGAGCGCGAGGGACAGCAGCAGGCGGAUGGGAGCCAUGGCGCGCGUCGGCGGCCAAGCUAGCUAAAUGAACUCCACCAUAUCGAUCUGCUGAAGGAGGAGGAGGAGAGGAAUGAUGAAUUGAAUUCAUUGACCGGUAGCAUGCUGAUAAGAUUUGCUUAGUAUAUGGUCCUUGCAAGUAAACUAGAGAUUUGGUUGUGUUAUUAGUCAAACAUCGUUCCAUCAUGCGUGUAUUAAGUCCAAGCUGAAUAUGAACGUACGUACAUGAGGAUAUAUUUAGGUCACCUUUCAUAUAGGCCAAAUUGGUUUAUUUUAUAGUAUUCAUACACUUGUAGUGGUAGUGCACUAUUAUGUUUAUAUAUCUGGAAAUGCAUGCUGGACGCAUGUGUUGGCAUUGGGUCUUAUGGCAUGUAAGGAUCGGGAUGGUCGUUUAAAUGGAUAGUGCAGUUCUUCUCUAAUGUAACUAAAUAAACUAAAUAAAAAAAUUAUCUAUUUAGUUUAUUAAAUUAUAUUAGAGAAGAACCGUGGCUAUCCACUAUCCCUAUCUUAAUAAUAGCAUGCAUGUCAGCAAAUUCAGACUGUAUUCUGAUUUCGAUGUUGCAUGGGAUUGUAGUAUCGACUUUUUUUUAGAUAUAUCGACCAAGACCAUAAAAAAGGAAGGUGAUGAAAUGACUUGGAUGAAACAUUAAUUCUUUUCUUCUAUUCUAGAAAGGGGCAGUGUACUGUACCAAGUUUGAAUAUAAUUAUAAGUUCAAAAAAAGUUUGAAUAUAAUUAUUCCUACGCGAAAAAAAGAAGGCAACAUAUAUAAUCUUUUUGGGUAUUUUUUCUAGCCAUAUAGGCUCGUACAACUUGGCACACACACAGAGGGCCGUCUCUAUAAUUUUGAGGGCCCUUGUGCAAGCAAAAGGGUAAGGACUUAUCAAAUAUUUUUUUGAUAUGUCAAAUAUAAAAUAUAUAGUACAACUAAAAAGAAUUAAUUUGCACCAUAUGUUUUAGUUUAUAAAAGGUAGUUAUAGUACAACAAAUAAAUAAGUAGAAUAGAAUUAGAAAUUUAGAACUCUAUCACGGAAUACUAAUAAUAAAAUUGGUGAAGUCUCGAUCAGCUAUGCCCUUACUCUUCCUGCUCUAGUGUCUAGUAGUGACAUAGUGUGCGGACGUGUGGUGUUUGCGUGUCAGGAAGCCAUAUUGUUGCAUUGGACGAUUGGGCAAUAGGACGAGAAGACGAUAAAGAGGAACAUUGAUUUGCUCAACUAAUCGAUCAAGCGAGAAUAUGAAGCAAUACUAGCAAUCGGUGGAUGUGGAUGAUGUACUGAUUAAUGGAUUUCUUUUUUUAGAUUAAUAGAUGGAUUUCUAUAGUGUCUAUAUAAGCCUAUAAAAAAUUAGAUAAAUCUAUAUACUGAGUAUUAUAUAUAUUACAUAUAUACUUAUAGGCCCCUUAGUGCCGUGGGCCUCCGGCCGCCGCACCGGCUGCCCACCCCCUAGAGACGGCCCUGCACACACACUACUACCCCCAUCUCUCUCUUCUCUCUCUUGGCAGGCACGUGAUGGGUCCCGCUCUUUGUAUCCCCAUGUCUUCUUCCUUUUGUCAAUGUGGUCACAUGACGUCUUCCACCUAUAGAUGCACUCUCUCCUUUUCUUAGAUGUGUCAUCUCCCUCUCGCUCUCCUUAUCUUUCCCCAAUCCUGGUGGACUUAGAAGAGGCUCAGGAGAGGUAGGCCGGCCGGACAGGCAGUGUGGACAAUCGGAGGACGGCGUUAGGGUUUCCAGCGGCAUGGUAGGAAGCAACCUAGCCAAGGAAAGGUGGGAACAUCUUUGGCCAUGGCGGCGACAGGAGGGGAGAAGGGAAAGAAGGACGUCGUCGUGGGUAAUACGGUCUCGCAAGAUCUCUACCGCCCACGGUGGCAGUGAGGAGCAGGGCAAACCCAGGAGGUGGGCGAUCGACACGGACGGUGGCGAGGGAUCCGCUAGUCGAGAGCGGCGUUUGUGGAAGGUAAGGGUGGGGGCAAGGACAAUGAAUGAUGGGCCGAACACAAGGAGGAAGACCAGCGGGAACGUAGGAGAAAGGCCAGAGGAGGAAGAAGGUGACUGUGUAUUCCAUAUGCCAAUCGCAUGGCCAGCUAUGCAUUAGCCACAUCUAAUCUUUUAUUUAUUUAUUUAUUUAUUUAUUUUGAAACUUAAUUUCUAUUGAUAUAUGCUCGGCAAAUCUGGUUCUCACGUAGCUUUAAUUUUAAAAAGAAAAGGAAGAUAAGGUCCUGUUUAGUUUCCCACCCAAAAUUUUUUCAUCCAUCCCAUCGAAUCUUUGGACACAUCCAUGGAACAUUAAAUGUACAUAAAAAAAUAAACUAAUUACACAGUUUGGUUGAAAAUCGCGAGACAAAUCUUUUAAGCCUAAUUACUCCAUGAUUAGUCUUAAGUGCUACAAUAACCCACAUGUGCUAAUGAUAGAUUAAUUAUACUUAAUAGAUUUGUCUUGUAGUUUCCUGACGAGCUAUGUAAUUUGUUUUUUUAUUAGUUUUUAAAAACCCCUUCUGACAUCCUUCCGACAUAUCCGAUGUGACAUCCAAAAAAUUUUCAUCUCCAAUCUAAACAGUAGAAACGAAUAAUGGGAGUCGACAAAGGCAAUAGCAUACCCUGACUGGCUACCGCUAGCAGUAGCAGCUAGAGUAGAGCCAGAGCCGCCGGACCAGCCAGAAUUGACUUGAGCACAAUGUACACGGUGCCGUAGGAUUGUGGGAAAUCCAGGAACCUUUAGUUUUUGAGAAUUUUUGCAACAAAAAAAUCAUAUCAAAUCUUAUGGCACAUGUAUGGAGCACUAAAUAUAUAAAAUAAUUAUUAAUUAUAUAUUUUAUCUGUAAUUUAUAAGAUAAAUCUUUUAAAUCUAGUUAGCCUAUGAUUAAAUAAUAUUUGUUAAAUAUAAAAAAAGGUACUUUGUUCUCUAUUUUGUAAUCUUUUUGCAACUAAACAAGGCCUGGGAAUGGAAAGCCACAGGGGCUAUCUACGCAGUGCUGGCUAUUUAAUUUCACGACGAAAUAGGAGUGGCGUCUACGAGCGAGUGAGCUUUCGUGGGUCUCCAUGGUCCUUAGGCGUUAGUUCACCCCCAAAAGUUCUAGUUUUUUUUUAAGAUUUUUUUUUUCAUAUCAAAUCUUACGGCACAAGUAUAAAGCAUUAAAUAUAGAUAAAUAAAGUAGCUAAUUAUAUAAUUUACCUAUGAUUUGAAAGAUAAAUCUUUUAAAUCUAAUUACUUAAUGAUUGGACAAUAAUUAUUAAAUACAAACAAAAAUAAUACAGUAACCAAAUUUAAAAAUUUCCGUCAACUAAAUAAGUCCUUAAUUUGCACGACCAGGAAUCCACGAUGCAGCAGCAUCGUCAAAUUCGUCACUCGUCGUCGUCAUCCUUCCACCUCUCCGAUCCGGCCAAUUCUUCGUCCCUUCCAAGGGUGACUGACCAUGGACACGGACGACGUUGGUCAACACACCGUCUCUAGUGUCUCUUGUUAAUCACUUUUUCCAAAACAAAUAUACUGAGACUUAUUUAUGUCAUAUCUUAUAUUAUGAAUAAUGUCCGGUGGCAGCGGGCGUGAUUGAGGCUGCCACAUCAUCUCUGGCAUCCCUUCAACUUAGCGGUUCUCUUCGCUGGUGGCUACCCGCGGCAGCUAGCUUAGACUGUCGUUGCUGCUUUACUCACUCCUACUAGUCACGCAAUUGUUGUUUUACUUAGACCUUGUUUACAGUUCACCCUAAAAAUAAAAAAAAAUUUCAAGAUUCUUCAUCACAUCGAAUCUUGUGGCACAUGCAUGGAGCAUUAAAUAUAAACAAAAAUAAAAACUAAUUGUACAGUCUGACUGUAAAUCACGAGAUGAAUCUUUUGAGCUUAGUUAGUCUAUGAUUAAAUAAUAUUUAUCAAAUAAAAAUGAAAAUAUUAAAAUACCAAAAUCUAAAAUAUUUUCGAAACUAAACAAGCUAGGCCUUAGAACAAAUGUUUUAGCUCCACCGAGACAGCAUGUGCCUUGUGUUAGUGUUUACCCACAUGCUUGGUGGUAGCUCGCCAUCUCGCGCUGUUUAGGCAUGUAAUACUUUUCUAAAUUUCUCUUAAUGAAAAUCGUGCCAAGCGUGUUCCUAAAAAAAAAUAUUGUUGAAGAUAUUAUAACUUUCUUUCACUAAUAGAUAUAGAAAGUUAUAAUAUCUUCAACAAAUCUAAUCAAUCAUCAAAUCUAAAAUAUAAACGUUUAAUUUGAUUAUAUUCUUAGAAAGAAAAAAACAAAUGACAUCUACAGAGAAUGCUUAGGUCUUGUUUAGUUUUAAAAAAUUAUAAAAUAAACAUUGUAGUACUUUCUUUGUAUUUGAUAAAUACUUAUCUAAUCAUGGACUAAGCAUCUCCAAAGGCUUUGGCAAAUUGACUUGGCAUUUGUUGCUAUUUGCAAACUCCCAUAACAAGAUGCAAAGGAUAAAAAUAAGUCAUCUCCAAGGGAAUUGGCAUUUGGACUUGGCAAAGGAUAAAAAUAGAAGGUCUCCAGGCGCGCGCGCUUUCCUUGCGCGUGACUUUGCUCGCGCGAUCGGGUUUGCAAAGUCGUUCACAACUUGGCAUUUUUGCCAAGUUUGCUCCCUCAUUUGCCAAGUUGUCCAAAUUGUAAACUCCAAAUGCAAAACCGUUGGAGACCUCUUUUGGAGCUUUUUGGUAAAUUACUCAAAUGCAAACCUCAAAUGCAAAACCCUUGGAGAUGCUCAAGAUCUAUACUUGCAAAUUACAGUUAAACUGCGUAAUUAGUUCAUACAUAUGCCAUAAGAUUUAAUGUAAUAAAAAAUCUAAAAAAAAUUUUAAAAAUUUUUGGAAACUAAACCAGGCCUUAGCCAUGACCAGGACCAUGCCAUGCGUUGGCACAACGAGGUAGGUGUGCCGUAGCAACCUGGGAGUAGGUAGCUAGCACACGGGCACGAGGCUACGACGACGCCGACGAAAACGAGUGACGUCGUCGUGGCAUAUGCAUUUAUAAUGCAUUUUGUCCCCAUGCAUCGAGCGCUACUGACCUUUCGUCGAUGAUCCAUAGACCAUAUGUAGAUAAAAUAUUCAGCUUAAGGACGAGACGAAUUUAUUUGGAUCACGUUUCAAUAGACCAAAAUUUGUUAAUUUAUAUGAAAAAAAUGGUUGGCGAUUGGGAAGCUCGAAUAUGUUAUACAUCCUGUGUUCAAAUUGACAAUAAUCCUUUGUCUAUCUUAAACAAAGCUAUAAUACAGUAAAGUUCUAGAGAAGCGCUAUACUAAAGUAACUCGUGCCCAGAAAACAAAGGAUUUGAUUCUAUAACAGUGCUAUACUGCUAUGCUAAAGUACGUUACUUUUAACUAAAAUGAUAUAAAAUAACUAAUAUUUAAUCAAAUAAGUAUUAGUAGAUUUAUCGUAAAUAAUCCCUUGUUUAGUUCUAAUUUUUUUUACAAAAUAGAUAUUGUAGCACUUUCAUUUGUAUUAGAUAAAUAUUGUUCAAUCAUGGACUAACUAGGUUCAAAAGAUUCGUCUUGCAAAUUAUAGGUGCAUUGUGUAAUUAAUUUUUAUUUUCAUUUACAUUUAGUGCUCUAUGCAUGCAUCUAAGAUUCGAUGUAACGUGGAAUCUGAAAAAUUUUGUAACUUUUUUUGAAAAUUAAACAAGGCCUCAAUGGGGCCUCCAAGGCAAUUACAUAUCGUGACCGCUAUCAGAGCAACAAGAAUUGACUUGGCUCUUGAGCACACCGCACGAGUCAAACUACACACUGCUCGUGUGCCAAAGGCUAGCUCGGCUCGGUUUAUUUAUAAGCUUGAUCAGUUAACUCAUUUGACUUGCAAGUCGAAGCAUAAAAAUAUAGUAUAUAGAGAUUAUAAUCAUAACAACAAACACAUCAUGUAGAUAUUUAAAAUGAAAUAGACAAAAUACAUAUAAAUUUUACAAAGGAAAAUAUAAGUAUGUGCUAUAUCAUCGAUCCACGACCACAAUCCAUCAUCAUCUGUUAAUCAAUCCCGUUCAUUCAUACAAUAUUUAAGAAUGAAGCAAAAUAAAUGAGCGAUCGACACACCAAAAGGUGCUCACAGGAAUUUAUCAUCAACAACAACAAAAAAAUGUCGGCAUGCAAUGUGUGGUCCUAUGGAGACCAAAACAGAGAAAUCAAAACUAGAGGGGGAGCAAAGGAAUCGUCUCGCAUGUAUAUGAUGCCACGAAAAAAAUUGCGGGCUAUCCAAAAAUAGCGCUGGAUGAUUCUGACCGCUAUUUUCCGCUAUAGCGCCGCUAUAGCUCCGCUAUAGCGACCGCUAUACGACGUAGCGGUCGCGCUAUGGUGCCGCUAUAGCUCCGCUAUAGCGCCGCUAUAGCCCGCUAUUUAAAUACAGCACACAUCAGAUGAAAAGUUUAAAACUAAAAUCUCACAAGUGACAAGUAACUCACAAGUCACAACCCAUACCCAUGAUCUAAUAGUCUAUUUAUUACAAUCCAAAUUCAAAAGCAAAAGACAUAAAGCCACAAGUGACAUAGUUCGAUAAGCAACUAAAAGUCUGAAACAUAAAUGAAAUGACAAGCACUAAGCACACUUCAGGCUUAGCGGAAAAAUAGCGGCGCUAUGCCGAUAUAGCGGUUUAGCGGCGCUAUAGCGGAAAAUAACGGAGAUAGCGCUGAUAGCGGAAAAAUGACUGAUAUCGUCGCGGCGUUUUAAAUAUCCCGCUAUAGCGGCGCUAUAGCGGAAAAAUAGCCCGCUAUUUUUUUUCGGUGAUAUGAUGUCAUAGGGGUAGGCCGGUGGGGUGGGGAGAGGUUGAGUCGUGGAGUCUAUUGGUUUAGGGUUUUAAUGUUAAUCAUUUUAUAGCAUAAGUAGACGGAUAUAUAGACUGAUUAAAAUUGUUGGCUUGUUAUUUAUAUGAGCUUAUUUUAGCUCAUGAGCUAGCUUACUGACUAAACCAAGCUAGAUUUUAGGUUAGUUUGUUAAAAAAUUCAAACGAGUCGAGCUGAGCUACUAAUAAGCCGAGUCAAACGAAAAAGAUACUCCCUUAACGUAUAUGACAUGAUUAUGGUAGCCAAGAAGUGAUUAAUUAGUGGUUAGUUUUUCAUGUCUACCCGUAAUAGUUAAAUAUGAUUAUGAGUGCUCUCUGUAUAAGAAAAUAAACCAACUCAGCUGGAUUGUGUGUAGAGACUAAAGCAUUGGGUCUCAGAUUCGAUCCUUAAUGGCCACUCAGCUUGUGCGUGAGCAGGCACAACGUGCACUAAGCAUGUCUGAGUUGAUCAGACCGUCAACUAAAACAGUUAAGUUAACAGGUACGGAGGGAGUACUGUUCUAAUCCAGCCCUACGUGGAGCACCGGUGACCUUUCGUCGGUGCAUGGUCUUUUAUUUUUGCACGAUGCAUCCAGCGUCAUCUUCGAUUCGUCACUCGUCAGUCGUCGCAGCACACGCAAGCAUUUGUUCCACCUUGGUGGGCUUCUCCGAUCCGACACCGUUCCAGAGGUGACCAUGGACACGUGCGUACUAGGUCAACACACCAUCUCAAAAUCACUUUUCGCGGUAUUUAUGAAAUAUGAAGUAUCCUCAAUUAAUAUUAUUAAUUAGCUUGUAGAUUAAUAGUUUCAAAAUGAACAUAGACAAUAAAAGUAAUUAAUAGUACCUUCCACGAAUAAUAUUCAGGGAGCUGACUGGAGAAUUCAAGAGAGCAUUGAUAAUUUUUCAAAAAAAGAUAAAAUACUCGGGAAAGCAAAAUGUGUACUCUCUAUAUAUCGGAUUUAGCAAACAUUUUAGACAAGAUUUAGGUCAAACAUUGCAAAUAUAAAUCAUCAACAUGCAACUUUUAAAUUGUUGAGUUUGCAAAUGUGUAAAUUAUAUGAAUAGAUUUGUCUUGAAAAUACUUUCAUAAAAAUAUAUAUAUUUCAUUUUUUCUAAAUAUUUUUUUUUAUAAAAAUACGAGGUCAAAGUUGUGUUUUGGAGACCAUGUCGCUGUCCUCAACAACUUCUAAAUCCUAUAUAGAUGGAGUACUACUGUACAUGGCAUUGUUUAGUUCCAAGAUGAAAAGUUUUUGGAUGCCACAUCAAAUAUACCGGUACACAUUUGAAUUAUUAAACACAGACUAAUAAAAGAACAAAUUACAUAGCUCGUUUGGAAAUCGUGAGACGAAUUUAUUAAGACCAAUUAAUCCUUCAUUUAGUACUUGUGGGUUACUGUCGCAGUUAUGACUAAUCAUAUGGACUAAUUAGAAUUAAAAGAUUCGCCUUGUGAUUUAUAAUUAAACUGUGCAAUUAUUUUUUUAUCUAUAUUUGAUGUUCCUGCACGUGUUUAAAGAUUUUAAUGGGAUGAGUGAAAAAAUUUUGGACGGGGAAUUAAACGAGGCCUAGUUAUUUUUGGAACUAAACAUGGAUGCCAAAAGUUUUUGAAGUUUGACAUUGUAGCACUUUCGUUUAUAUUUGAUAAUUAUUUUCUAAUCAUAGACUAAUUAGGCUUAAAAAAUUUUGUCUAGUAAAUUAUAGUCAAAUUGUGAAAUUAGUUAUUUUUUAUCUAUAUUUAAUACUCUAUGCAUGCGUAUAAAGAUUUGAUGCGAUGAAAAAUUUUGUAAAUUUUUAGAAUUUUGGGUGCACUGAGAAUGAGGCCAUUCACUCCAGAUUGACCCGUGACCGCGACGUCCGUCUACCUACGAUGAACAGUUCUACAGAUGCCCUAGCAACCUCCCUGGCACGAGGCUACGACUGCGACGACAAAAAGGAGUGACGUGGUCGUGACAUAUGCUAAUAUCUAAUCAGGCCUUGUUUAGUUCUAAAAAAUUUACAAAACGGAUACUGUAACAUUUUUGUUUAUAUUUGAUAAAUAUUGUCUAAUUAUAAACUAACUACGCUUAAAAAAUUUGUCUUGUAAAUUACAGCUAAACUAUAUAAUUAUUUAUAUAUAUAUUUAAUACUUCAUGUAUGUACUGUAAAAUUCAAUAUGACGGAGAUCUGAAACUUUUUACAAUUUUUUUUAGAAUUAAACAAGGCCUCAAUGCAUUUUGUGUUGUAGUGUACUGUAAAAUUCAAUAUGACAGAGAUCUGAAAUUUUUUUAAAAUUUUUUUUGGAAUUAAACAAGGCCUCAAUGCAUUUUGUGUUGCAGUGGUAGGCUAUGGACCAUGCAUACGCAUGCAUGGACAGGUAGGUCAACACAGCGAUAUGGACCGUUCGUAAGCCCACUAAUGAAGCACUUCGUUGUAACUACAUCAUCGGGCUCUCGUCUCGUGUGAACCAAACAAAAAUUAUAUUUAAAGCUCUGCAUUGCUGCCUGAUGUGUUGGGUAACAAUAACAAUAACAAGCCGAGUCAGAGUCAGUUAUAAGCUGAACGAGAUAACGAAUUUUGAGUUUUUGGUCCAACUUUUGUUAAGUUGCACAACCAAUGCAAGGUGAUGGCCCACUGCUGAUGUACUGAGUUGAUACGCUGCCGGUUCCAAACCGGUCUGGGUGUAUAUAUAGGCCUUGUUUAGUUGUAAAAUAUUUUGCAAAAUGUGAAUAAUAUCAAUUUCGUUUGUAUUUGAUAAAUAUUAUCUAAUCAUGAACUAACUAGGCUCAAAAGAUUCGUUUCGUCAAUUCCGACCAAACUGUGUAAUUAGUUUUUAUUUUCGUCUAUAUUUAAUACUUCAUGCAUAUGUUUAAAGAUUCGAUGUGACGGGGAAUCUGAAAAAAUUAGCAAAAUUUUUUGGGAACUAAACAAGGCCAUAAUACUGGACGUAUAUGUCAGUGUGUUGCAUAGGUAAUAAAUAUAUUUUUGUUUUGACUACAUCAAUACAUGUUGUUUAGACUAAGUUAAAGUCUAUUUUAUGAUUUUUAUCACCAAAAUUAUGUAGACCAGGAGGAAUAUUAAAGAAAAAAUAUAAAUCAAUAUGACAAAUCUAAUGAUGUUAAGACCCAAACAACCAAUGCCCAAAGCCAUGCAUGUUCUGCCGUUAGUAAGGAGGCGAUGUGGCAGCUUCACGUGUCUCUGUGCUUCGUAGGGCGUAGCAGAGCUAGCAGUCCGUCGGAUCGAGAGGUCGUAGCUCAUACGUAGUACACUGCGCGGGGCUGAACGUACAUGUUGUUGUUUUGUUGCCCUUGGCCAAUGGUGCCGAAGCUAGCCCUACCUUGUCACGUACGUACGUGUUCUAGUAGAUCAUCUUUAAGCUAGUGACAAAGCUCACGUCGAAGGUCUCCGAGUUUAAUUGUUGUCUGUGUCGCGACGCAUACCGAUCGAGUCGAUGAUCACCGGCGUGUCUGCAUUAUCAUAUGGGCACCAGUGGUGUGGUGACGACCAAACCGCUAAGGAGGUGGUGGAUCGAGACGGCCACCACCAUCAACAAGGGACAGUAGUGCCAGUGCACUGGUUAUUGAUAUAAAGUAUGUUUAUUUUUUUUUUUACAUACAUGACAUAGUACUUGAUGUUUCUGUUUCGCAAAGUGGAUCCGGACUUUAUGGGAGCGUGUUGUUGUUCUUGUUGUUGUUGUUGUUGUGAGUUUUUGGCUCUAGCUAGCAAAUUUUUUCAUGUAAAGUAUUUUCCUUUUUUUUUAACGAACUAGAUCCGGACACUAGGAGAGGUUUUUUUCCGUGCAUGUUUGCACGUGGGCAUGCAGGAUUUAGUGUGGUAUGGAUAAAGAUUAGAAACAGUACAGUGGUUUUUGUUGUCGUAUAUGUUUAGAUUUCAGAAAUGUUUUUUUUUUUUUGCCGUGAGGUUUUUUUAAGUGGCAGUAGAUUCUUUGGAGUUUGGAUGCUGCUGCUGCUUCCAUGACACGAUUUUGUUAACCAAAAUGUCGUUCGAUUUUGUUAAGACUGGGCUCAGCGCAUGCGGCACCACCUUCAGGCCCACUCACGUCUACUCCGCCUGAACCGGCCCAUAAUCCCAGUUGCGAUGAAAUUCGCCCGGCCCGCUUCAAUUCACUAAUCUUCUCUUAGUGGUGACUGGUGAGAAUUAAUCCAAGGGCGUCAGAGUUGAAAAACGUACCAUCUUCUUGAGACAUAGACAUAUAUCUUUUUUCCCUAUAAUUUGCGUGAUCUAUGUAGGGCAUGCAGAUGAUAGUCUUGCGAGAUUACUUGCUUUAACAAUUUUAGUUUUUUUCCCUCCUGGGGGAAGUUGCUAAGCACAUAAAAUUUGUUAUUGUCUUCGCACAUUUAAUUAAAGGGCCAAAAGUCUUACAAGGCUCGAUUGUGUGCGUAGGGAUAUUUGAAUUCAACAUUAUAUAUGCUCCUGCAUUCUUCUCCCUGCAGGCUGCAGGUUCAGAUUUUGAAAGGGGGUACAUGUUUAUUUGUUGGGCACCUUCCUUCACUAGCUUUUUCCUUUGAUCCAGACAUGCGUGACUUCAAUUUCUUCAUAAAACAAAGUGUUCUCGUUCUGAAUUGUGGAUUUUUUCCUCUUUAACUGAAGUUGUUGAAAGCAUGCAGUUGCUGGGUGUUUGGUCCUACUACUGCUGCUGCUACCAGCUGCAGCAGUUGGUGGUAACACAGUUUAAAUGUUGCAAAAUUUGUAGGAAAAGCCAUAUUUAUAAUGAAAUUUUGCGCAUAAUACUCUGCUGUGAAAACCAGAUCAUGAAAAUGCAGUGGUACGCUUCUCCCAAUCGGCAUAUCAAUUCCAAUUUUGUUCCAGAAUUCGACAGCAAAGUAGCACUCGCUGAUGAUGUGUUCCGGAGAUUCAGGCUGAAGGCCGCAGAUUUCACAAUCCACAACAUGCUUUAUAAUUUGAACAGGUUGGAGCGACACUGAAUUCUCCUUUUGAGUGAGUAGCCAACGUGGUGGAGCUUUGCUCUUCCAAAUGCAGAAGGGUGAUAGGCUCUUGUCAGUGCAGUCGUCCAAGAGGGAACGAACGGCCUGAAGCUCUGACAUAAUAAUCUGCUGACGAAAGAGCUUUGUUUGUGGCAACAGCAUUUUUGGACAGUGUGCCAUCCCUGACAGUGCAGUGACUGAAUAGAAUGGGGAACGUUUCCGCCAGUGCGCCGUCACCGCACCAGACAUGACAUCCAACCAGAAGAGGGUGUUUCUGCCAUUCCCGAUUUGGACAGUGUGGUAAUGGCUUUGGUACAGCGGGAGUAUAAAGCGCAGAGUUUCCCAGUGCGCACCCUGGAGCUGGAGAUCACCUUGGUUGGAUUGGAGUGUUGCCAGACAAGCUCGUUGUCUCACCCACCACUGAGCCCAAGCAGAAGAAUCUCGCGCUGCUGGUCUGCAUCGGGGUCCUGACGUUCGUGUCGCUAGCCGCGCUCGUGGCGGCGGCGCGGAUGGUCCUGACGAACCGGAGGACGACCGCGGAGCCGGACGCUCAUGGAGUGCGCGGCGAGGUGAUGAGGCACCUGAAGCAAAUUUUGCUAGGCGGUGGUACAAUAAUUUAUUUAUUUUCAUAAUGUAGAUAUUAGUGUUAUUUAUGAAAUAGAAUAGUACUAAUAGCUAUUAUCGACAAUUAAUGAUACAUAAAUUCUACUAGUUCAAGGUCAAAUGUUUUGAUUGUUGUGAAAAACUUUAGACCGAAUGCAUGUCUAAAAUAUCAUAGCUCUCAAUUGGAAGGGGGUAGUAUCAUGCCAAACUGAGACUCUGGCGGUUUUGCACACAGAAAGAGCGGCAAGCAGCUAAGGCUCACGCGCGCGUCUUUGUGUUCCUCCUCCGUUCCUACGCGAAUUGGAUAGAGUUGAGGCUGGCCUGGCCAUGUCAAAAGCUAGCACAAGAAGUCGAUCGUCGACAGAAGAUGCAUGCUCCCCGGCCGCGGCCGGCCAUUAGCUCGAAACAAAAAGCCAGAAGGCAAUGCAAGCUGCGCUAGCUGCAUGCCUGGCCUUUUGUCUAUGGCGGCGCACGGCAUGAGGAAAGUGGGCGCACGAACAGAGACGCCAUGACCACGAUGAGACAAAUUUAAAGAGGAGGACGUGUACUAUUAAUUUCUUAGCUUGUCAUCCCAAAAUUAAACAACUAGUCGCUCAUUUUCUGCAUGCAUGCAUGGUCCGGCCGCGGCCCGCGCACAACGACCGGCUAUUUCCCUUCCCCAGCGAAGCGAUAGAUCGAGCACGGAUUGGAGUCCGGCCGGCACGGCAGCGCCCGCCCGCGCGGCGCGUGCGUGUCGUCCAACUGCACUGCAUGCAUGCCAGCCCGGCCGAACGCACGGACGAUAUCGAUCGAUGGCGCUUCGCAUCACGCACACGAAACCUUGCCGUGCGGGCUGCUGGCUCUAGGCUAGCUAGCUGCAUGCCCCUGCCCGGCCCUUUAAGUACCGGAGGACGGAGCUAGCAGCAUUGGGAUCGAUCGAGGAGCAAUAUCAGUACAACCUGCAGUGCAGGUGAUAAAAAGAUCGAUAAUGGCGUUGUUGCUGUCGUCGCUGGAGGCUUUGGGGCGGAGGAGGAACGUGGCCGGUCCGCUGCUGCUGCUCAACCUCGCCCUCUACGUCUCCAUGUUGGGGUUCGCGAGCUGGGCGCUCAACACCUUCGUCGACCACGACAUAGCCGGCGCCGACCACGAAAAGGAAUACUACCCACCUGCAGGUCCGUCGUACACGUCAACUCAAUGCGUGUAGUUUUUAUAUAUCUAUAUCUAUAUACAUACUCAACUCAAUGCGUGUAGACGACGCGUGCAUGUGCAUGGGCACGCCUGCAGGAGCGGCGCCGCGCAGCGCCGGCGACGAGGCGACGCUCCACUUCAUCCAGUUCGCGCUGCUGGCCGCCGUGCUAGGAACCGCAGCCAAGGCCGCGGCGGCGUUCCACGCGCGCGCGUCGUGGCGCCCGCAGGGCCUCGCGGCCGCCGCGGCCCUGGCCACCGUCGCGUGGGCGGCCACCGCGCUCGCGCUCGGUCUCGCGUGCAAGGAGAUGCGGGCCGCCGCGGCGGCGCGCGGGUGGCGGAUGCGCGCGCUCGAGGCGCUCACCGCGACGCUGGCCGUCACGCAGCUCGCGUACGUGCUCAUGCUGCACCGCGCCGCCGCCGACUCCGACUCCGACGUCGACGCCGACACCCACGCCUACGCUGCCGCUGGCGACGACCAGUGCGAGCCUGGCUGCUCCACCGCUACCGAGGGCGACGACGUCGACUGCCAGGACCAGGACGCGCAGCAGCAGCAACAUGGCCGCCACCACCACCACCACCACAGGCAGGGCGGCGGCGGGCCCUCGUGCAAUGUCAUGUGAACUAGCUUACCAUGCUUGGUGUUGUCACUCUCUUGUCUUGUCAUUUUCCGUGCUCGUGUUUCGUCGCGUGGAAAAUAAGCAAUUUAAAGCUCAGUUUCCUGUCUCAUAUAUGUUCCUUUCCUGUCUGUCAGUAUGUGUAUGUGUUCGUGCCUGUCAGCAUGUGUAUGUGUUUGUGCUGUGUAUUGUGAUGUCCAUUUGCUGCCACGCAUGUUCCCCUUGUGCAUGGCAGUUGAUGUCAAAUUAAUAAAAGGA